GAUCACAAAUAGCUAGCAUAAAUUCAUUCCAUAAUAAUAUUGUAAGUUGUAACCACACUCAUGAAGCAUCACCUUUUAUUUGUUCUAAUAAUAUACAAAAGGGCCACACGGUGAUACAUGACAAGUAAAGGCAUAAAGGUAUAUUGGGGGAAUUAUAAUUACUAAACUUUUCAGUAGCUCAAAUCCUAUGAUUUGAUUUUGCCCUAGUGCUUCAAAAUCACCCACAGAAAUUUAAGGAUCACAUGCAUAUACUCAUAAGCUCCAAGCUCCUGGCGCAUAUACCAAAUUAAUCAGGGGUGGGGGCCAUGGUGGGGAGGGUGCCCAUGUGGCCCAGGAGGAGGUGCAUGGGCAUGAGGACCAGGCGGUGGUGCAUGAGCAUGAGGACCAGGCGGUGGUGCUGCUGGACCAGGAGGUGAAGGAGAUGGAUGAGCAUGUGGUGGCGGAGAAGGUCCGGGAUGCGGUGGACCCGGGUGGUGGUGAGGGCCUGGGCCUCCUGGUCCUGGUGGUGGUGGAUUAGGCAUAUGUUCCUCAACUGAUGAAUUUGUGGAGGAGAUGAAUUAGUGACAAUGGGUUUAAACAAUUGAAACCACUGCUUUGAUUAAUAUAGGGGAUCAUAGAAAGAAAGAGCCCUUAUCUUAUCUUCAGCAAUCCAUCAGUCAAUGCCCAAUUUUACUUUCUGUUAGGCAACUAACAUUCUUCAAUUUGUGUAGGUGAGAGUGGAAAAUCCUGUAAUUUUAUUAAAAUGGCGAAUGAAAGUUCUACCCUGCUUACUAUUUACUGCGUGUGAUGAUGCAAAUUUAUAAAGCCAUCUAGAAGCUAGUGCUUAAUUUUCAAUGUGUGCAUAAUAUAUUUUUGGUCUAAGGAAAAAAAUUAUACAUUGAGAAAUAUGACAUGACAUGACUUUUUAGUGUACUGAAAAGAUAAAUUUACAUCUAGAUUUAGUCGAUCACCUUCUGACAUAUUAUUUUAUAAUAGUUUUUAAUUAUCAUUAACAUUUAUAGCAGUUAAAAACUAUCACUAAAAUGUAUGGUUGUAAUGUGUUGAGAAAAAAUCAUAUGUCGAUGUAUCACCGCUCUUUAUUAUAUAUAACCCCAAUUACCUUUGGCCCAAAUAUGUUUGGUUUUGACGAAAACGAAAUGAAUGAAUGGAGAAGAAUAGAAAAUAAUACUGAUAUUAAUGUAUUUAGAAACACAAAAGCAUUCAUCCAUGAAUCUUAACCCAAUCCACUGAAUGGCUCUCCUAGGGUUAGGGAGGCGGCCGCCAAACAAGGUUUUGUUUAUCCAAGGUUGAUCACCACGUUUUACUUCUCUCUUUUGACUAAACGCUGACCCUGUCUGGUGAACCAUAUUCUUUUCUGCGUCUAUUGCAUGCAACAGAGGUUUUUUCUGCUAUCAAGACUGUACGAAGGCCGAUCAUGGCGUUUAAUGGUGAUGUUCCGAUUCUGAACUGGGAAGAGGAGGAGAAUGUCGUUCUUGACCUAGGUGAGGCUGAGGUUGACCCGCAGCUCGGUGCGAAUGUCUGGCUCGUUGGGAAGGUGUUGUCCCCGAACAAGGUUACGACACCUAUUUUUAGAAGCGUCAUGCUUAGGCUCUGGGAGACAAGGAACGUGAAGGAGAUACGACAUGUUGGCCCUAAUCUUUUUGCUUUUGAGUUUGGCAAAACAAAAGACAGAGAUUUGUUUCUGCGAUCUGGUCCGUGGCUCUUUGAUCGUCACCUGGUGGUGCUGGAUGUUUUUGACAUCACCAAGGAUCCCAUGCAAGUGCCCUUGACCAAAGUUCCUCUCUGGGUACAGGUUCAUGGGCUCCCGUACACGAUGAGAUCAGAACGGAUAGCGAAGAGUUUGGGGGAAUCUUUCGCCGGCUACCUGGGUUGGGACAAAUAUGAGGCACACAGGUAUGGGUACUGCUUGCGGAUUAGAGCUUGGGUGGAUGUGACUACGCCGCUGCGGCGAGGUCAACUCGUAGCAACUAGAGGAGAAGCCCCCCUAAGGGUAACGUUUAAAUAUGAAAAGAUAGUCAAUAUUUGUUACCGUUGUGGGAAACUAGACCACGUUCUCCGAAACUGUGCGGUGGAGGGGAAUGGUGGUGCUCUCCGUUUUGGUGCUUGGAUGAGAGCUGAGGAUGAUCACCCUGUUGGAGGUUACCGUGGGGGAGAAAAUAAAGGAUACAUACAGCCCAAUGAGGAUGGAAAGGAACCCUAUGAGGAAGAUGGAGAUUAUGUUGAGGAGGAGGAACUGGAACCUGAAUCAGAUUUGGUGCAAAAUUGUGACGGAGGGAACAAAAAUUUGAACGAACACGAGGAGGGAGAAAACUGUGAGCUUGCUGCCACUUAUAGUAAGGAGGACACAGUUUACUUGCAAAAAAACACAUGUAGGUGGUGAAGGUAAACAAAAGGAGACCAAGCAGCACUUAGAUGGAAAAGUUUUUAAUUUUGGGGCCCAAAAAUCACGUGGCUUCCAGACCAAAAUGGGGCCAGUGGCAAGGGAUAUGAGAAGAGGCAGAAACAUGGGAAUUAAUAGAAGGGAAAGUGGUGAUGGAUUUGAAAAUCAUGGCUUACCAAGAAAGCGGGCAGGUGGACCAUCUUCUACAUUUGCUCAGCAGCGCACGGGGUUCUCUCCCCCACUGAAGAAGAUAAAUAAUUCUGAUGGAUUGGGGAUGGCGGGCACUGCUGAGCAGUCCCGCCCACCUCAAUGAGGAUUUUAGCUUGGAACUGUCGGGGGUUGGGGAGCAUCCUGGCAGUUCGAGCCCUUGGUAGGCUCAUUCAGUCUGAAGCUCCCGGCAUAGUGUUCGCGAUGGAGACAAAAUGGUACGAGUAUGAGGCACAACGUCAUAGAGGCUUGGGAGGCCUUCCAAAUGUCUUUCCGGUUCAAUGUGCAGGCCAAGGACAUUCGCGAGCAGGAGGUUUAUGUUUGUUUUGGGGUCCAGCAGUGGACGUUACCAUUAUUUCAAGUUCUUUGAAUCAUAUUUAUUUUACUGCUACUCAUGUGGAGGAGCAGAAGGUCAUGCAGAUUUUGGGGAUUUAUGGCUUCCCCGAUGAGAGGAGGAGAGUUGAUACUUGGGGUCUGGUUAAGAGACUGUUGGUUGACACUGCUAUCCCUGCGCUCUGUGUAGGGGAAUUCAAUGAUUGUCUUUCUCCGCAGGAUAAGUUGGGAGGAGACCCCCUUGAUCUUCAGCAUAUACAGAGGAUGGCUAAAGUCAGAACCGAAUGCAAUUUGCAGGAGGUGGAUUUUACAGGAUACAGGUAUACAUGGUCUAAUAAUAGGGCACCAGAUACAAUCGAGGAGAGGCUAGAUUAUGCGCUUACAAAUGACGCCUGGGAUGAAUUGUGGCCUUCAACGGUGGUUCACCAUUUACCCAGGUAUAAAUCUGAUCAUAAUCCUAUUUUACUAACUUGUGGUGUUCGCAGGAAUAGAGAAGAGAUAGGCCGAGCAAAAAUUUUCCGAUUUGAGGAGAUGUGGCUCCAAGAAGGACAAGAGUGUGCUGAGAUAGUGACAGAGACUUGGUGUAGACUGCGAAAUGACCUCCCCACCAAAAUAGCUGAGGUGGGAGGGGCCCUAAAGUGUUGGGGAAAAGACAAGUUUGGUGAUAUUCCCAGGAAGAUUUCUGAUCAGAAAGCCCUAUUGCAAGACUUGCAAAGAAAGGAUCAAACAACGGAGGUGCUGAGUGCCGCGUCAGUGGUUGAAAAAGAGCUUGAUAGUUUGCUGGAACAAGAGGAAAAGUGGUGGCGCCAACGUUCUAGAGCCACCUAGUUAAAGUGCGGAGAUAAGAAUACCAGUUUUUUCCAUAAAAAAGCAACUCAGCGGCGAAAGAGGAAUAUGAUAGAGAAAAUAGAGGAUGAUGGAGGAUGUGAAUAUGUCCAUGAUCGUGACAUUGCAAGAGUUUUAAAAAAUUAUUUUAUGAACUUGUUCUCUACUUCUAACCCUGACAGGAUUGAGGAGACCACAUCUUUGGUAGCAAACAGGCUGUCAGACUCUCAUUUGUAGGUUCUUGCUGAUCCUUUUACAAAGGAAGAUGUAGAAGAGGCCUUGUUCCAAAUGCAUCCGACCAAAGCUCCGGGAGCGGAUGGCUUCCCGGCGCUUUUCUACCAGCGGUUUUGGGAUGUCAUUGGGGACGAUGUAGCAGAGUUCUAUUUGCAGAUUUUGCAUGGGCUUGUGUCGCCAGGUAUUAUCAAUCAUACGAUGAUUGUUCUCAUUCCUAAGGUUAAGAAAGCUGUUAAUGCGACCCAGUUUAGGCCUAUUAGUUUGUGUAUUGUUCUGUUUAAUAUUGUGACUAAGGUGAUAGCAAAUAGGCUGAAAAAUAUUUUACCUGAUUUAAUUUGCGAAUCCCAAAGUGCAUUUGUACCAGGACGUAUGAUCACAGAUAAUGCUCUCAUUUCUUAUGAGUGUUUUCACUUUAUGAAGAAAAGAACUAAUGGCCGGAAUGGCACGAUGGCGCUGAAAUUGGAUAUGUCCAAAGCGUACGACCGGAUCGAAUGGUCUUUUUUGAGUUUUUUAAUGACAUCUAUGGGUUUUCCACAUAAUUGGGUGAAUUUAAUUAUGAGUUGUGUAUCAACGAUAUCUUUUUCCAUUAUGUUGAACGGUAACCCGUAGGAAAAUUUUGUCCCUAAUAGAGGUUUAAGACAAGGGGAUCCGCUUUCUCCUUAUCUUUUUAUCUUGUGUGGGGAGAUGUUUUCUGCUUUGAUUAAUAGAUCCAUUGCUUCAAAAGCACUUUCUGGAAUUAAAAUAGCGAGGAAUGCUCCUGUUAUUUCACAUUUGCUUUUUGCAGAUGAUAGUAUCCUCUUUGGUAGAGCACCAGUACAGGAGGCGGAAUGCCUAAAAGAGAUUUUAGUGACUUAUGAACGUGCUUCCGGGCAAGUAGUCAACCUUGACAAGUCAAUGCUCUCAGUGAGCCGAAACGUGCAGCAAACCAGUUUUGAUGAGCUUAAGCAUCUAUUGGGAGUAAAGGUCGUAGAGAGCUAUGACAAGUACUUGGGGCUACCAACAAUUAUUGGUAAGUCAAAACGACAAAUUUUCAAUUUUGUUAAGGCAAGAGUGUGGAAAAAGUUAAAAGGUUGGAAGGAAAAUUUUCUUUCACGAGCCGGGAGGGAAGUUUUAAUUAAAUCAGUGGCGCAAGCCAUUCCCUCUUAUGUUAUGUCCUGUUUUCUUUUACCUGACGGCCUGUGUGCAGAUAUUAAUAGCAUGAUCUCCAACUUCUUUUGGGGAGGAGAUGUAUCUCAGAAGGGGAUGCAUUGGACAAAGUGGAACAAGUUGUGCAAAAACAAAUUGGAGGGUGGUCUUGGAUUCCGGGACUUCAAGGCUUUUAAUAUAGCUCUGGUGGCGAAAAAUUGGUGGAGAAUCUAUUCCAAUCCAGAAGCAUUAGUUGCUCAAGUUUUUAAAGGUGUUUAUUUCCAGAGUGGUGAUAUGUGGGGAGCAAAAAAAGGCUAUCGACCGAGCUAUGCAUGGUCAAGCAUUCAUAAAUCGGCUUGGGUUUUUCAGAGAGGUGGUUUAUGGCGUAUUGGUAAUGGUAAGAGAAUUAAUCUGUGGACAGACAAUUGGUUGCCCGGAGGGGCACCCACUCUUUUCCGGCAGGAUGUAGUCGAGGAGCUUAAUAUACAGGUGGUCAGUAAUUUACUUGAGCCAGACACUUCCAGAUGGCACUCAGAAUUAGUGGAGCAUAUCUUUCACCCAGGGACAGCUAGGCGCAUCAUGGGAGUGCCCCUUGCUACUCAAGCACGGGAUGAUUUUCUUUGCUGGCCUUUCACCAUGGAUGGGAGGUACUCUGUUAAGACUGGUUACCAUUUUGUUUGUACUGCUUGGGAGGGUGAUGUUGUAAGACCCAAGUUUUUAAGUUUAGAAUAAGUGAAUAAAAUCCUAUUCACGAUUAGGGUUGAUGUAUCGUUAAGGGAAAACCUGGACAAAAGUUUACUAAAUGAAAUAAAUUUAUGAAGGAGAAAGUUCAGGAAAAGUCUAAGGAGUGUAUCGAAGUCGAUAAAAGUUAUAGCACGACUAAUAUACGCUUAAACCUAGGGCAAAAACGCUAGUAAAUAGCUAAUUUACACUUUAAGACACGAUGGAAACUAAUUCCAAAAAUCUUCAGAGAAAUGUUAGAACUUCUCUUAUUCGUCUAUAGACAAGCAUUUCGAUACGAAACCCUGGAAUGUACGAACGUCAAAUUCCAAUACUCGGAAGUUUGCCGAAACCAAAACCCUGAUAGUUCAAGAAACCUAAAAUCAACGGACGAUGAAGACUUUUUCUAUUCGGAGCUUCAAAUGAAGAUUCCACACGCGUACACCCAUUUCUCUUGAUGUUUUCAAUCUUUCUUCAGAAGGAAGUUUUCUCUUCCGACAUCCACUGCAAAAAGUAACUUAUCGGGUAAAAUAGAUUUACACCGACUUUGCAUUAUGCACCUAAAAUCCAAGGAACCUCUUUUGAGUUUUGGAAUUCUGUCGCCAAAACCUAUCUUAGAAUUCACGGAGAAUGAAGCCGGAAAAAUCGGAAUCGCGAAACUUUCAUUUUCCCGCGUUUUUCCAUCCUCUAUAUAUAGCAAGAAAAUGAGAAAAAUGGCAAAACUUCACCAUUUUCUCUCCCAAAACCCGCGAGCUUCACCAAGAGGAGGAGGAGAAGAGAUUUUCGCCAUUUCUUGCUUGAUCGUUGAUUCAACAGUUGCUACUUGAAGGUAUCGAGGUAUAGUCGCUAAUCCUUACCUCUGAUCGUCGUUUCCGUAGCUUUUCACUAUGUCUUUCUGUGCUCUUAGUUUUGAGGUUUUUGCAAAACUAUCCAGAUAACUUCAUUUUUCUAUCUAAACAUCUUCCCUACGUGCCCAAGAGCAUGUUUAGCGAAUAAUAUUACGCCGAUUCUCGAAAAACUAUCGUCGAGUUUCAAUUCUGCUUCAAAUACCCAUUUUGGGACAAAGUUUCGUCCUUUGGGCUGAAAACUAUCGCCUUAGCUUAGUGCUAGUAGGAUUAGUCGUCAUAAACGUCGUUGGUGACGUCCCCAUCCAAUUUGCUUUUCGAAAUUUCAGUUUUGAAAUUCUGAGCUAAAAAUAUUGACCAAAAUACCCCUGCGACAGUUUUCGAUCCGAUUCCGAGUUUAGAUUAACCUUAGUUACGACUAAUAAUAACCUAGGAACCAAGUUUGAUCGAAGAAAAAUCGACACACACAAUUACCAUGUGUGGCCGUGAGCACCCUAGGAGGAGGAAGAAAAUUCUUUUUUCGAAAACUUGUUCUUUCGCGCUAGAUUAUCGUACCUCGGAGUAUAUGCUACUUCGAGUAACCCUAGUAUUUAUUGUUUGCUGAGUUUCUGACUCAUUGUGAUUGAUUUCUGUGGUUUUGCUCUAAAGGUUCUUUUGAGGAAUUUCCUGAAGAGCAAGGAGUUGAUUGUGUAGGAACGUUCGAAGAGAACCCUGGAGAAUCUACAGGUGAGGGCUUCUCACUGAAGUAUUAGUUAAUGCUUUAGGUGUCGACGUAUUCGACUUGAUUUACUGUUUAUGCACUUGUUUGUGUUUGAUUGGGAAAAGUUUUCUGAGGCUUCGACUGACAAUGUAGAUGAUUCAUCUACUGACUGUUUUUGAGAUUGAAUUACAUGGUACGUGCUAAAUGGUUAAUCUAGGAUGUGUGAUAUUUGCUUUAUAUGCUAAGUGCUACGUGGUUAUUCUAGGAGAUGUUGAUAUAUGUGACAUGCUUGUUGACUGUGCUGAUUUAUCUAUGUCAUUUCACAUAUGUCUGUGGUACUGAGGAGUGAGAAUAACGGGCAGGUCAUGCCGAUUUUAUUUUGAGAUUUUGGAGAAAGUUUGAUAGGACGAACGAAGAUUCGGGCCUUGUUAUGGUCUUCGUGGAUCGAGACACUCUCGGGGAGUUAAUUGGGAUUAUGGGACUUUGGAAACUCAUAAGAUUUGCGAUAAGACUAAUGGAAACUAUUUUAUAAGGAAAAUUCAUAAGACAUUAAACAACCUCUAAAUCUUCAAAUAAUGACAACAAACUCGAAAGAAAGCUUAGGAUUCAAAUCUUAGUUUUGGAAAAGAGGGAGUGUCGUCGGAUCCAAGUGUUGAGAAAAUUAAUAAGUUCUGAGUACGUUGAUACUCUUGUGCUCGAGUAGCAGUUGUGUUGUUGGGCUAUCUGAGAGAUAAGCCGAGGAAACAGGUAGUUUCCGAGUAUGUUGAUACUCUUUGCUCGUUGAGCCGUUUUGACCAUCGGAUGGAGAUGAGUCGGAUGAUUUGGAGAUCAUCAUGAGAGAAUGUGUCGUUGUAAAGGAUUGUCUUUUGUCGCAGAAUCGACUUUACCUUAGGGUAUGUUUUUAGAGACAAUAAGUUAGCCAGAACACGUGGCGACGUGUCGAGUGAGGUCGGAGACGUUGUUUGGCUAAUCAUUUUGCAUUCAUGCACCAUUAAUGAGGUAUUAACACGAGACGAACUUCGGACCUCGGUGGAUUCCAAAAUGGUCAUAAGACCCGGAUUUCCGCGUAAGAGCGCUAUUAGGCGACUCUUAGUAGCAGACCGAAAUGGCAGGCCUUCGGGUUUUAUGCUGAUCUGACUACCGUUGUUGUUGGAGUAAGAGGCACGCGGGCCGAAAUGGUCCCACCGUGGCUGGUGCUAGGGCUGAUCCGUUGAUGUCCAUCCCUUCCGGAAUGCAUUUGGUUAACUGGGUUAACCGGCAUUUGCAUUUCACGCAACAUGCAUACUGACUUAGUUGCUGAGUGUGUUUGAUACUUGUUAAUCCUAUUUGAUGCAUGCUAUUUGUUAUUACUGUCGUUUAUAUUCAUUGUGGAAUAUGCAACCUUAGGAUGCUAUCUUUAACUUAUAAGCCUAAGCGGCUGUCUCUUAUCUGUACCUAUUGGGAUUAUUAAUUACAUAAUUCUUUGGAGUUGACCCUCGCGUCUUCUGUGUGUGCUUUGGCGGACUACGCCCUUUGUCAGAUGUCUUUAGCGGAUUGGUUCACGAUGGUCCACCCUUCGGGGGGGACUAGAUAUGAGAUGAUAGAUCAGGACGACCCCGCUAGCCAUCGAGCGACGUACUCGGGGAGGAUCAUGGAGGAUCGCGUAGACAGCGGAGGACACUUGAUGGAAGGAGUGCUGAGGAAGUGCACUGUCAGUUUCAACUUGCCGCCCGGCAUGCACUGCGAACCAGGAGUAGGAGCACCACCACCACCGUCAUCUUCUGAUGAUGAGGACCCCUCAGAGGAGGAGCCUGUGGGAGUGACUUCUUCAGAGUCCAGCUCACCCACGGUUGCUAUUAUUGACGAUCAUGGUUCGGGCCCUAAGCCCGUGAGGCCAGCACCGGAGCGCAUCGCGGUUGCGAGAGGAGGACGGAUAGUGUUCGUAGACUUGGUCGUUCUGGAUUCAGAUUCGGACGACGAUCAUGCUAGCACAUAGUUUUGAGUGCUGGUGUGAGCUCCUCGAGAUAGGAUUAGUGUAGGAGUAGAGUCUUAGCUCUGACCGUCACUGUUUUCUUUGGGGACAGGGUAGUUUCCCGCCUAUAGCUUUUUGUGUGGUUCCUCUACUGGAAUCAUAGAGAGUUGGUUGGGCUAGGAGGUCUUGUUUUAGGCCGAUUGGGCUAACUUAUUCUCAUUUUUGAAGGUUUGUGUUGCGGACACUUAGCCUUUCCUGUCGGUUUGUACAUAUUGCCUACGGGCGUUACUUUUCUUACUUCCCGUCACUGGAGGUUUACUCGUGACGUGGUUUGCUACUUACAGCGGGGGUUGUAAUUAUUAUUGUAUAUUAGUUUUGUUACCUUUUGUUGUCUAGCUUUAUUUCUUUCAGUUUUAAUUCUAUUAUCGAAAAAAAAAAAUAUAUGCACGUUUUUCCGCUUUAAGUUUCUUUUUUGUUACUAAAGUGACGCCACCGAAAUCGGUGUGUUACAGAUGUGGCCUCUUCUUCAUCACAAACCUCUCUCUCAAAGCAACAAUGGCAGAAGUUUUGGGGCUCAAGUGCGUUGCCCAGGUGCAAAGAGAUGGCUUGGAGGCUUAUUCGUGGAUUCGUACCAGUGAAUUCAGAACUGAAGCGGAGACAUAUGGAAGUAGAUGAGCAGUGCGUGUGGUGCUGUCAAGAAAAUGAGACUUUGGAGCAUGUUUUCCUCUCUUGUACAGCUGCCAAAAUGUUAUGGUUUUGCUCUCCUUUAGCUUUGAGGACAAAACAGUUCACGGUUUGAUAGACUUAUGGGUGGCGGUGCUUCAUGAUGGGGAUGCAGAUUUUAUUGGGAUGGUCCAGACCUUAUGUUACGCUCUUUGGGAAGCUAGGAACAGGUGCGGGUUUGAUCACAAGUGUUUCUCUCCGUUGGAAGCGGUGCAGCGCUCGCAAAGGCUGCUGUCUCCCCCGUGAGUGGACACGCCAGCCCCACCCUCUCGCACGGUUCAGUACACAACGUGGAGAAGGCCAGGUCGAGGGGUGUUUAUGAUCAAUUUUGAUGCCACUUUUGUUGAGGGACAACCGUCGCUAUGGUAUGGUGGCGCGAAACUUUGAAAGGGAAAUUUUGGCCUCGGCGACGGCGUAUCCCGUGGCAUCUCUUUCCCCUCUCUUGGCGGAAGCGGGUUGUUUCCGAUGGGCUCUUCGGUUGGCUAUUGAGUUGGGUUUCCGGAGGGUUGAAUUCCAGACUGAUUGCUUACAACUUUUCAAUUGGUGGAAAUCUCGUAGGGAGGGUGUUUCGUUCCUAGCUACGACUGUUCGUGAAUGUCGUUUUUUAAUUUCUGGUUUUGAUGUUUUUACUUUAUCUUUUGUAAGACGUUCUGGUAACGCAGCUGCUGACUGUUUGGCUAGGAACGCCUCUACUUACGCUGAUAUGGUGUGGGUGGACGAAGUUCCGGAUUGUGUUUUCCAUGUGGUGGCUCAGGAUGUUUUGGCUUCUAUGCCUCCUGAUGCCUAAUUUUUAUAAAAUCACUUUCAAAAAAAAAAAAAUUCGUGCAUGUUUGGAUCAGGUUUAUAGAUAAAUUUGAUUUUCAUAAAAUUGAUUAUUUAUAGUAGAAAUCAGUUAAAAAUUAAGUGACUUAUAUUUUCUUUUACAUUGGAAAAAUAAAUUGCACCCUCUAGAGAUCGAUCUUUAGACCUUUUCUCCAAACCAUAUGUCCCCAUGUUUUUACCACUUGAGUCAUCAUUCGAGGACAAAGAGGUUUAUAUUUGAAUACAUUUAUGAAAAAGUGAUUCAUGUUGAUGAGGUAAAUCAUAAUCUCGCAAUUGAUUAUUUCAAUGUAAAAGUUAUUCUCUAGCAUCUACAAGAAUUAUUUUGAAUUUAAAAUUAAUUCUCCAAAAUAUCUCAUAAGCAUCAAACUUUUAUUUAUAAUUAAUCCUACACUACCAAUAUUGAUUAUGAGUUUCCAAAUAGAAAAUCAAACACACUCCUUGUUUGAUUAGGAAGAACCAUAAGGAAAAUAAAAAACAUACUUUUCUUUCCUUUAAUUUUAAAUGAAUGUGUUAGAUGAGAAUUUGUACGUGAAAAAUUGUCCAGAAUGUAAUUCAUUUUAGUUUUCCUAGUUUUGGUUUAUGACGAUGGGUGUUUGGUUUGUCAUUGGCCUUCGGAAGUUCCGACAAAGAGGGUUGAGUCCUGAAAUAAAGCAUUGAAGAAAAAGUAAAGAUGAAAUAUGUGGAAAAAAUAAUCACAUUUAACGUCGUAUCUUAUGGAUGAAAAUCUUUUGUCCACACUUGAUAUCUUAUUCUUUUUUUUUUGAAAUAGUAUGUUAUUCUUGAUCUCACUGAAAGAAAAUGUUUCGUGUUUAUUUCAUUCAAUCAUAAGAUCGAAUAUACAAGAGUAACACAUUACAAACAAGGAAGGUCAACUAGACUACUAUGACCAAAAUUAUUAUGUUACUGACUACUAAUAUUAAAGGUACACAAAGAUCCUAAAAUUAUUUACAAAAUUAUUCUAUCAUUCACCAAUGGAAUUAUAUUUAGUAGAUCACAUGAGUAUGAUACUUAUAAAUCAUAAGGUGCUUGCUAUGGUACCUUAAGCCAGACUAAGGUGUGAUACCCAAAAUGAGUCGAUUUUAAUAAUAAAGACACAUGUACCGGUUAAAAUUUUGAUUGUGUUCUAUCGUAGUAAUGCAACGUUCCAUUCUUAGGGACGUGAGAUUUGAAAGUUGUGUUUUCUGAGCUUUGUGCAUCCACCAACCAUGGUCAUUUUACGCGCAUCUUCAUCACCAUUAUUCGUUUCCACCACUCGUACAUUUUUCAUCAAAAAAUGAAUUUCAUGAGAUAAAGUUAAUUGACAAGUAAAUUAAAAUCUAAGAGCAUCUCCAAUGGUAGGAACUUAUUUUGGGACUUAACUCAAUUUUUGUGGGCCCAAAUUGCCACAUAGGAUUUAAGACACCCAUAAGGUCUUCAUGCAUAUUUCACUCUAGUGGUUGGGAUAUUAUUUUACUUUUGACUAGACCCACAGUACCCAAUAUAUUUAUAUUAUUUAUUUCUCUCCCUAAUUUUCACUUUGGUUAUGGUAUUGAAGGAGAGAGAAAAAAAUAUUAUUUUAUUUAAGAUCCCACAUUUGAGAGUACCUGAGCUAAGGCACGGAUCUUAGCUUUUGCUAAGAUCUCAUGCCAUGUAGGAUAGCUCUAAUGGUGAGAUCUAAUAAGAUCCAGAUUUUAUUUUAAGGUCCCAAAAUAAGGACUCCAUUGGAGAUGCUCUAAUGAUGUAGUAUUUACCUUGAAUAACAUGAUAAUAAUUUAUAGAAUUAUUAAUGAGGUACCAUACCCAAAAAAAAUUUGAGGGUACCAUAGAAUUUACCAAAUUAUAAUCGUACAUGUGUGAAUAGGGCAGAGAAUUUCACCCAUAACAUUGGUGAAAAACAGUCCAUGGUGUAACGUACACAACAAUGUCUCUUUUCACGCAAAGGAAGUGGUGUUCUGAAGGCUAACAUUUUGUGUUUUGACUAGAUUGGCAAUUAGCCAAUAAUUAUGCUCAAUUUACCCACCACAUUCAAAACCUUAUGCAAAAGAAAACAAAAAUGACAAAAAAAAAAAAAAACACAUUUCAAGUGGAGCAUGAUAACAUCGCAUGUCUUACAAGUGAUAGGUUCAAGCCCACACUUAUUUCAUAUGAAAGGUUUUUCCUACCUUAAAUCAUGGCAACAUUCACUCACCCUAGAUUUUGUUAUUGACUUUGUAAGGAAAUUUAAUUUUAGUCAUUCUAAGAAAAACUUACGUUUAGUGACAGCCACUUUUAUAAUUAUUGACAAUUUUUUACCGUCACGAAGCGUUAUUUUUACUUAAAAAAAGACUAAAAUCAAAUCCUUAGAAAUUCAGAGAAUAAUUUAACCAUUAACCCUAAACCUAAAGUGUCUUGUUUUUUGGUAUAUUAAAUUGUUGUCAUAAUUUCGGUCGUGAAAGUCAAACGUUUUCGAAAAUGUAAUACCUAAAAAUUGAGCUUUCGACCUAGAUAUAAACAGUCAAUUUUUAACACUGCGAUCGGCACUCGAAAGUAUAGUGUGUUUGCUUUGCCUGAUGUGUAAGAAAGAAAGUUGAGAAAUAAUUGAAAUUGAAGAAAAGCUCCAAGUUGGUCAGCUUUCGAUUAUCAUCAUCGAAGAAUAAGCAACCAUCCACAUCUUGCUGCUGCUACUACCAAGCUAGCUAGCUCUUCUGUACCUCUCAUCUUCUUCUCUUAGACAUGGGUUCUUCUUCUAGUCGUCUCGGGUCUCGCUCUUCUCCUCCUCGGGUCAACAACAACCGCUUCAGACUAUCCUCUCUUCUCUGUGGAUCCUCCGCUUCCCGCUCUACAACUCCUCAGGUACCCGAUUUUCUUAAUACCCAUUUCGUUUUUACGCUUUUUCAUUUCGAAAGUUUGAUUUUUAUCAUCUGGGUUGGUCCAUUCGAUUUACUUUUGAAUUGGGUAGCUUUUGUUUUUGGGGAUGUAAGUAUAAAAUUGAUUUGCUAAAAGUCCAAUCAAUUGUGCUUGACUUAUAUAGAUAAAGCAAUUUUUGUGAUAGACUGAUAGUAUUUGGCUUUUUUGUUAGCUGAUUGAUUACAUCAUUUGAAAAAAAAAAUUGAUUGUGUGAGAAUAUUGUGAGCUUGGUUAUAUAAUUAUAGUUUGUAGGUUCUAUUGAUUAUCAUAGGAAUCUGAUAGUUUGCUAGUUGAUUAAUACGGUUUGACGCAUAUGAGCCUAACUAAUCUAUGAAAUUAUCUGCUGGUGCCUGUGGUAGUGUGGUAUAAUUCUUUAUCACAAAUUUGGAUUUAGCUUGUUUUAUUAUUUUAUUGUAUUCACUAGGUGAUUGAUUCAUGGAACGGUUCAAGUCUCUUCGGUCUUGAAAGAUUAAAAUUUCACUCGUUACUAGUUUUUUUAUUUUAACUUUUUUCUUCAUUGGCACUCCUUUACUUUCCAAUGAUUUGAUGAACUUCUUUAAGUUUUAGAGUCAUGUUGAUCCUAAUAAGUUUAUGCAUCUCAGCAUCUAUUCAAGGGUGAAUUUGGAAAAUCGUAUUUGUUCUUAACUUGUUGAGUAUUGUUUCAAGGAAAACUGAAUGCAUGAGUAUGUAUGACUUGAAAAUUUAUCCACAAGCCAUUUUAUCUGGUCUCACACAAGCGAUAAUUUGUGGAUGCUGGAUAGCCGUUAAAUAGAUACUGGGAGUGACUGAUACAGGAAAUUACAUUCUUACAUUGUGUUUUUAGAUGGAAGAACGUCCAUCUGAGCUUCAGGUUGGUUCGGCAAGAGAUUUUGAUGAUGAAAUUCAGAAAGCAGCCUCUGAGGAAUCGUCUUUAUCAUGUACAGAAGCUAGAACUAGCUAUUGUCCCCGUGCUGAAACUUCAACCUCAUCUGAUAUGGGAGUUGAGUUCUGUGGUGAUAAAACCGUUGAAGGUUCUUCCAGAAAUGUUGCAGCAAAUAGUCAGAGGAAGUGUUUGUCUGAACGUCAGGAGCUAGUUCCUCCUUAUCAGGUAAGCGCCGAUAAUAGUCGUCAUGAAUCAUAUAGUGAUAGUAGCAACACAGCUAGUACUUCAUCUGUUGAACAUCAGUCUUCAGAUCCAGUUUCUAUAAGUGUUUCUGCUAACAAGGAUGCAGUCAAUAAUGUUGAUGAUCCAGUGUUUAGUGGUAUCUGUCAAACCUCUCGUGACACGAUGUAUCCAAGGAGUUCAACCCCUCAAGAGCGUGGAAAUACCAGUUCUGAUGAAAUUUCUGUUGAGAAUCACACUGGUGCAUUCACAUCUAUCCAGAGUGCUCCUUCCAAUCCUGUUGCUCAAGUUUCCAAUAUAAUGGCAAUUUCUCAAGUGCCAGAAGAUGAACCUCUUCGCGAGGCAAUACCUUCAGGUUUAGGUUUUCUUGUGUCCAAUCGGGAAACAGGGCAGGGAGAUGAUAGCGUGAUUCAAGUUGACGUGGUCACAAUAUCUUCCAACAUUUUGUCAGCAAGCAAUGCAGAUGCCAAUGAUCAUGAUUCCAGAAGAAAUGGUAGAAGAUUAUUUUGGGAUGCUUUUUCACGACGUAGCUCUGGAAGGCUUGGUGAUUCUCCGACCAUUGUCUUCUCCAGUGGAGGUGCUGAUGAUACAGGAUCUCAAGAUCGAUGGCUCAUUGAUUUUAGCGGUGAUUUACCAAAUGAUAGGGUUGGGGAUGAUGCUGGAAAUCCUGGUCGUAGAACUCAUAGAUCGAGUGAACGAAUGCGGCACCCAAGAUCUGAGGUGAUUCUGAAUAUUUGGAGUAUAGAAUGCUUUAAAUUGUUUAUGUCACCUACUUGCAUUUAUUAAAUGGGCUUGUGAUCCCUUUCAUGUAACAUAAGCUGUUUACAUUUCUUUAUAUAGAUUUGGGAAAGGCUUCGUGGUGGCCUUGAUGAGAUUGGUCGGUUGAAUUCUUCAUGUCCAUUAGGACUCCAUGCUGAUGGUAUGUGCUCAUGCGAGUCUUUCCCAAUGGCUGAGGAAUCUAGCACUCGAGCAAGCAUUUCAAGAAUAGUCAUGCUGGCUGAGGCUCUGUUUGAGGUUUGAACCUUCUCUCCAGUGUCUUUUUUUUUUCUCCUAGAUUUAAUUAAAUUGAGUUUUCCAUCCAUCCUUAUCCCUUGUGUUUCCUGCUCUAUGAAUUUUAAUUUUAUCUCUAAAUUUCUGCGUUUGGUUUAAACAUGGUACUUGCUGAUUGGCAGUUCAAUCUGAUACCGUUGAUAGGGCAGUGUGCUUACUGCAUAAGAGCAUUUCAGGAUGCUCUCAUGCAUUUGAUUUUCUUCUUUUUGGCCUCUUUUCUACGAUAUCAUAACUUCCUGAUGAUUGAGAUUAUCUAAUUUUGAAUUUCAUAAUUAAAAGUUAGGUCUUUGACAAUCUAAUAUUGGACUGCUUCUAUUGUGCAGUUUCUCUGUAGUGAAAAACAGUUCUUUAUUCCUCUUGCAGUAGGUCUGCAGAUGUCUUGUAGCAUUUGGGUGUCAUCUGGUGUUUUAUUUUAUUUUAUUAGAAGUACAUCAUUUCAAUCUAGCUUUGCAUUGGCGACUUUUCAAAGGGGGGCGGGUUGCACCUCUCACUACUCGGUAAAUUAAGAAUGAAUAUAAUGAAAUGUCCAAUAUGAUCAAAUUAUUCAGAAUGUUAUUAUGUUCUGUAUUUUAAAGUAUGUUUGAGUUCUUGUCAUCAUGCCCACCACAGCUUGAUUGGGUAUAUCAUAAUACUCAGAGUCACAGGCUCACCCUUGUAAGGUGGUCUUCAUAUUCUGAACCAGAUCCCUCCUUUUCAAUUGUCUGCAGUACUUUUUUGUGUAAUAAUUUCAUUUCAUUCACUUAGAUGUAAAAUCUAGCUUGGUUUGUCUUUCAAAAAAAAAAUAGUACCUUAAAUGGAAGCCAGUUCCUGUAACUGAAGGCUCUUCAGGUCAUGAAUGGUGGUAGGCAUGUGUUAUUAUGCUCGGUACACAGAUGCUUUGAGCUUAAAGAACAGUGUUUUCCAUGAUGAAUCAUAAUUGAUUUGAACCUAUUAUUUUCUGGUUACCUGAGAUAUCCGUCUUUAGGUAUAAUUAUCUGGCCAAAAAUGGUUCUAUACUUUACUAUUGGAUUAUGAGAACUGAAAUGCCGAAAGCAAUUUACAUAGGGCAGCAUAUUUUUCCUCUGCAGGUUUUAGAUGAAAUCCAUCGGCAACCUGGAUCACUUUCCCUAUCCAUGGUCUCACUCCCCGCACCUGAAUCAAUUGUUGACUCCUUCCCUCUGAAGUCUCACAAAAAGGGCGAUGCAGCUAAUGGAGACAAUGAUGCUGAACAGUAAGCCUUUAGAUCCCUAUUAUCUUAAGCAAAUAUGUUUGGAUGAAUAAUAUAUGUGGUAGUAUGGCCAUAGUUAAGUGUGUGUUUGGAUACUAGUCGAGUGUAAUGUGAAUGAACUUUCAUGAGUUUCAUCUCAAUCCAAAAGAAAGUUCCAUUCACUUUUUGUUUCGAAGUGAGUACUAGCGUCCGUGUGCACAAGUGUCAACGUGUAAUCCAAGCAUAGCCUAACUAGUUUUUCACUUAUGUAGUCUGUCAGUGUGGUUAUGAUACUUUUUUUUUGUUGGUUUUGAAUGCUUGAAAAGUUCUUCCUUCUCCCACUAUUAUCAAAAUUUAAUAAAUGAAUUUUGUAGAUGUCACAUAUGCCUGGCUGAGUAUGAAGAAGGGGACCAAAUACGAGUUCUUCCUUGCAACCAUGAGUACCACAAGUUGUGUGUUGACAAGUGGCUUAAGGAAAUACAUGGGUAUUGUCACUGUAACCAAAAAUCGUUCAUUCUUUUCAUAUCUAUCAAUUUCCAUUACAUAAAUAACCAUUUUUUUCUGCUUCCCUCUUUUACAGUGUGUGCCCUCUUUGUCGUGGCAAUGUUUGUGGAGAGUUGUCUGCUACCUACUCAGUAGUGCAGUCUCAAUGAUAUUGUGUACAUAGAUGUAAAUAUUCAACUAUAGACUAAAGUACCAUCUGGGUCAUCUAAAGAUACACCUAACAUCAAUUUGAUCCUUCAAAUAUUUUUAUCAUCAAUACGGUUCGAAUUGAUGUCACAUCAAAUUGGAUGGAAGGAUUAUUUUGUCGUCGCUUUAAAUUUUCAAAGAACUAAUUGGAGAUCACAAUUAUUUGAAAGACUAAAUUGGUUUGAAGUGUAUUUUAGUCUAAAAUCAAUGUCACCCUUGGGCCUUGGCAAUCAUAUCUAUAAACCCUUAUAUUUAAACUGUGUUGGGAUGUUUUUUCAUCAACCAAAACAAGAGGGGAUUGACUACAAAGGAAACGGGGAAAAAAGAAAGAAAGAUAGAUUAGGAAUAUAGUUAAGAAAUGGUGCAAAAUCUUUGUUUCCUCCCCAUUUCACCCCAACAUAGAAAAUGCAUGUUUGUUUUUAAGUUUAAAUCCACAGUUUGGAGCUUUGAAAUUCUAAAUCCUGAAUUCUCAUGGCCCCCAACAUGAAAGGGACUUUAGCCUUUUGUUGGUGUUUAACUGAGAAACAAACAUGUAACAUGGUCUUGGGGGGGAAUUGAUUGGGAAUGGUUCCUCUCAAGUUCUAUUCGCCUCUUGUACAUUGUUAAUUUCCAAAUAAGAAAUUGUUUUUCUUCUCAUUAUUGCUUUUGUUCCCUUCAUUAUCUAUCAUCCAAGCACGGUUCAAGUACAGUAGUUAUAUCAUGAGCUUGUGCUCUAUGCAAGAAUCCAUUUUAUGAUGAAACUUGUUUGGAUCUAUAGUAUUUGUUCUUCAGACUCCCAUCUAGGAAACAUCAAACUAAAAUUUUUUUGAUUUGGCAAUGUUGCAAGGAAAAUAAAUUUCAACGAAAGGAAUAAAACAGACAAUCAAAUUAUGCAUUUAAAAUUGUAAGGUGAAAAAAAAUGGCUUAGCACUAGAAAUGCUUGAUAGUUGAUAGAACUGUGAAAAAGACUAAUACCAUCAAAGUAAGAUUGUCAAUGAAGAUCUAGACAGUACUUACAAGUCUCUUUGCUUGCCUUAACAAUAUAACAACAAAUACUUUACUGCAUAUGGAUUUCCUAGAGAAGCUGAUUCAGACUUCAGCUUAAUCUAGUUCCACUUGCUCUCUCCAUAACCAUGAGAAAAUGGAUUGAUGUUACUGCUGCGAGCUGAAUUAUCAUGAUGAACAAAAAGAUUUGGAUGAAUAUUUUCAUCAUCCUCAGAUGUUGUCCACCGCCUUGAGUUGCUGCCAUGUUUUUCUCUAGCAACAUUGCGCAUGUUCUCCAUCUCUCCUACAUGGUUUUUGAAUUCCUUCUUCACCACGUCCAGCACCACAUCACCGUAUCUGUCACACCAUGAUCUUCAACACACAAAAGAAACACAAGAAAGUACACAGUAAGUAACACUAAUCCUCUGAUCUCAGACUGUAUAAAGUGUCAAGUGAUCCAAAAUUGAAACAUGAAAAGUGGGGUUAUGUUGACUCACUUAGGAAAGUAAUUUUUCAAAUCAGCCUUGUCCACUGGAAUUCUAGUAGAAAUUGCUUCCAUCUGAUCAUUCCUGAUAUCACAACAAAUGCAGCCAAAAGUAAGUAACAUUUCUAAGCAAAGAACUAAGUGCGUGUUUGGAUACAUGGUGAGCUAAAAUCACUAUGGAUGGAAGUAAUUUCCCUUAGCUUUUGUGACUGUUCACCGUGAUCUUAGUUUUACAGCUAUUUUCCAUAGUGUAUCCAAACAUGCACUAACUAAUAUCAGUUUUCCAAAUGCAAGGAAAGUAAUUACGAGAAUUUAAGAUUUGGGUUUGUGCUGCUAAGUUCUGUCUGGAUUCUUGUCAGCUCCUUCUUUAUCUUGUCUCCCAAAACCUAUUCACAGUGAACAAGAAUUUUGUUUAACAUGUCCAAAAAUUAGCUCAAUUUCAAAAGGAAAUUAGAUUGAAAUAUAGAAAGAGAUGAUGGAUGAAGGAUCUAAAACCUUAUCUAUGAAGAAAUCAGAUGGAGAACCAUCAGAAUGUAACUUCUUCUUCAACAACUUGGUGUCUGGUCCCUCUCCAUGAACUCUUGCAAGAGACUGGGAGGAAGCUGAGUGUCCCCCACUAUCAGACCUCUCAUUCAGAGGCAAUGGAGCAGUCUCAUCAUCUGCCUCAUUUCUCUUCCAUCUCUUGAACCCAUCAAACCCCCAUUGCUUCUUCACUGGUUUCCCUGCUCUUUGCUCUGGCUCAGGACCACCACCACCACUUCCACCACCAACUCCCUCCCUCUGCUCCCUGUGAAAUAAAGUCCUAAAUGGCUUCCUCUUCAACUUCUCCGAGCCACCGGUUUCCUUCACAGCUUCCGGGGGCCCACUUUCCUCCAUGAGAAUUGUUGUACCUUCACUUUUAUUGCCAUUAGGCUCAGCAUUCCAAAAAGGGUUUUCACUGGAUUGCCUCAAUUGCAAAGAAGGUGAUUCAAAAGCACUCUUCUCCACCCCAUUUUUCCCAGGUUUGUGAGGAGAAACAAAGCCGAAAACCGAGGCUGCCCCUUUAAUCUGCUUCAAACCCGACCCCUGAUUCGAUUUUCCCUUACAAUUCAAAUUCUCCUUGUUCAUCUUCAAUCCCUUAUCAUCCUUCAAAUCAAUAACCGACCACUCUUCCUCCGAAAUCUCUCUAGGCCUCACUGCCCUCACACCAACGAUCACAUCCUUAGCCUCAAUCUGAGCACCUUGAACAGCCAAUCUCUGAAGCAAAGGUCUCUUAGAAGAAUGAUACUCUUCUUCAGAAACACACUUUGCAUACAGAAGCUCCUGCAGAAACAGAAGCUUGUCUCUGAGUAUAACAGGAUGCUCUUGUUCCGGAGGCGAAGCGAUGAGAGUCUCGAGCAAGUGGGUUCUGAAAGCUGAAACCUCAGUUUCAGCCACAAUGCCUUCUUCGUGAAGACCCAUCAAGUUCAAAAUCUGGUGGAAAGACUCCUGCUGCCAUUUGAGGUUGUCGGAUUGCAGCUUCGACAACCUUUGCUCUGCUGAGAGCAAUGAUCGUUUCUUGAAGCUGAAAGGGAGAAGGGUCUUGCAGAGUGAGGUGAUUGAGUCAUGGAGUGUUGAGUAGUAGGUUGGUGUGUAGUUUGAGUACACCAUUUUUUUCUGAAUCUUCGGAUUGUUGAAUUGGAUGUGUCUGUUAGAAUUUCUAGCUUAGAAAAGAACUCAACUCUUGGUGGUGUGUCUGUGUUGUUUGUUUUCCUGGUUUUGAAUUUUUGAGACGAUGCUCUCAAACGGUCACUUUGAUAUGGAAACUAGCCGUUGAAGACUGUGAAUGAAUAUUAUUUCAUUCAGGUAGCGCUUAUAACAACUAAAUUUUGAAAAAUAAAAGAGAAAAAUGAUGAUGCACCGACACCGUCAACCAAUCAGAUUUCAAUGAUGUGCCACGUCAAUUAAUGAAAUUAAAUAAAAAGAGAGAUUUUCUCACAUCCUUGAAAACUGAUUGGUUGACGGUGAAAAAAAUUUUACACUGCACUGUCAGUGUGUAAAGUUUAAGUGUUAUAAUCUAAGCCAUUGAUUUUGAUCUAAGGGUAGAAAAUCAAUCAUCUCACUCUCACAUAAGAAAUCUCUCUCUCACUAGAUACAUCCUCUAUAUAUAUAUAUAUAUAUAUAUAUAUUUAAAUUUCGCAUUUAAGUCAUAAUUUUACAUAUAAAAUGAAAGUUAAUAUGACUAAAUACUUUAUAUCAUAACUAAACUCUAAAUUAUUUGAUAUUAAUUUUCAUCUUAAACCAUUUCAAACCAAACAGUUAGCGUAGUAAUUCAGCAUAACGAAGGAGACGACAGUUCGAUUCUAAACUCUUAUGAAUGAAAAAAUAAAUGUGGAGAAAGAAUUAGUCUCACAACUAUGAACAAUUUAUUAUUGCACUAAAAAAGCUCCAUUCACAUGAAUUAAAUAAAAUAUAGAAAUAUUAAUAUGAUAAAUUAAAAUUAAUUACAUUUUUUUGUUUCUCAUUUUUUCUUAACAAUGGUUUCUCAUUUCUUAAAAUAUCUUCAACAUUUAAGUCAUGUUUGAUUGCAGUUUUUGAAAACACCAUUUAAAAAUUGUUUUUAGAGAUUAUUUUUUAAAGUGGUUUUUCAAAAAAAAAAAACUGUUUGAAUUAGAUAUUUUCCAACAUUAAAAAAAUUACAAUAUGAAAAAUAAAAACUGAAAUAGAAAACAUCUUUUAGUUGUUUUGGUAUUUUAGUUUUAAAAACUGAAAUUAAGAACUGUUUUCGAAAACAGUUUUAUAUUAUUCAUCUAAAAAAAGUUCGCAGAGGGGGCGUCCAAAAGGGAGUAAGAAUAAACCCAUAGCAUUGCCGAAUAAUUUUCUAGAGCCAAUUCCAAGUGAAGAUGGGGUGACAACGCGUUCGCAUAGAGCAUGGUUGAUCGGAAAGGAGUUGGGACUAAAACCACGCUGAUCAGAAGCUUUGAUGCUGAGAGGUUUAGAAGCUCAAAUCCGUGAAAAUCACCCUCACCUCAAUUGAUAUGUCGGGGCCUUGGCUCACAUGGAAUGUGCGUGGGCUAGGCGGAACUACGAAAAGAGAGGCUGUCAAAAAAGCACUUCAGCAAUUGAAACCAGAAUUGAUUCUAUUACAAGAAACAAAAUUGAAUGAGCAGAGGCAACGAACAGUUGAACAGUGGACGCAAAGUUUGCAGAUGAAUCAUGUCGAGGUUCAGUCAGCGGGAGCAGCAGGUGGCCUAAUGUGUCUGUGGAAGGAAAGCAGUUUUCAAGUUCAGUCAAUGGUGACAUACACUAAUUUUAUUUUUUUGUCUGUAAAAGUUCCAAAUUAUGAACACCCAGUUCUAGUGGGGAAUGUUUAUGGUCCCCAUUCUUUGCCGGAACGUAGAGUAUGUUUUGAGGCCUUGAAAGUGCAUGUGCUAAGUCAUACAGGUAUGAUGUUUCUUGGGGGCGAUUUUAACGCUGUUCUACUAGGAUCGGAGCGGUCUUCAGAAGGAGUUCUUGAUGUAGGCGAUGUGGUUUUUCAACAAUUUGCCACUGAUACUAACUUAUCAGACCUACCCCUGCUAAAUGGCAAGUACACGUGGUACUCAAGUCGCAACGAUGGCCUAUGGAGUCGAUUGGACAGAUGGCUCGUGUCUGACGAGGUGAUGUUAUCUUUUUCGAAUAUUUCACAAUCUGUUUUUGCAUGGAAUGUUUCUGAUCAUAGAGUUGUAGGUUUGGUGUUUGGUGAACCUGACUCUGGCCCUAAACCUUUCCACUAUUUUAAUCAUUGGGUGGAUGACGAUGGAUUUUAUGAGGUGGUCGAAAAUUGGUGGAGGUCCGCAAUUUACCAAGGUUGGUCGGGAUAUAUUUUGCAGCAAAAAUUAAAGGGUUUGAAGGGGAAAAUAAGAGAGUGGCGCAAGGGGAAAGGGGUGUGGGGGGUGGAAAAAAUUAUGUGCUUAGAGAAUAAAUUGCAGGAAGUGAUGGGGGCAAUGGAGGAGCAAGGGGGGGCGCAGUCUUUGUCUAAGGAGAGGAGGGAGAUUUUGGAAGCUCUAUGGAAAGCAUACCGCAAGGAGGAAAGAACUUGGCGUCAGAAAUCAAGGGUGCAGUGGUUGAAGGAGGGUGAUCGGAAUACAAAGUACUUUCAUCGCAUCUGUAAGGCAAGAAUAGUAAAAAAAAAAUAUUACCCAGUUAAGUUAUCAGGGAAGAGACUUAACUACCCCAGGGGAAAUCAAAGAGGCUAUGCAGGAUCAUUUUCAGAAUUUUUUCAGGAUGGCAGCUGUUACUAGGCCUUGUUUUCAUAAUCAGAACUUGAAAAAGGUGUCUGAAUCAGAAAAUCAAUUUUUAGAAGCUGAUUUUUCACUUGAUGAAAUAUGGGAGGCUAUUAAAAAUUGUGAUGGAAAUAGAGCUCCUGGACCUGAUGGAUUUAGCAUGGAUUUUUUUAAAAAACACUGGAAUCUAGUGAAGGAAGAUUUGAUGAACUUUUUUAAUGAUUUUCCCCAUACAGGGCAUCUUGUUAAGGGUUUGAACUCGACUUUCAUUGCGCUUAUUCCAAAAGGUGAUCUCCAGGAACAUAUUUCUGAUUACAGACCUAUCAAUUUGAUUGGCAGUGUGUACAAACUGUUAUCUAAGGUGUUAUCAGUACAUCUGAGUUCAAUCCUUCCUAGGCUGCUAAGUCAGAAUCAGUUUGCUUUCACAGCAGGACGUCAGAUUGCUGAUUGUUCUUUGAUUGCAAAUGAGAUUGUCCACUCUAUGAGUUCGAGGCCGCAAGGAGGUUUGUUAUUUAAAAUUGAUUUUGCAAAGGCUUAUGAUAGUGUUGAAUGGGGUUUUCUGUUGGAGCUCUUACAAGAGAUGGGGUUUGGGGAAAGAUGGAUUAGGUGGAUGUACUGCUGUAUUUCUUCAGCUACUUUGGCGGUUUUGGUAAAUGGUUCACCGUCUGAUUUCUUUUCAAUUGAAAAGGGCUUGAGGCAGGGUGAUCCUCUUUCUCCUCUUCUUUUUAACAUCGUUGCAAAUGGGAUGUCUUGCAUGUUAAACCAACUAUCAGUGAGGGAUAUCCCAUGUGGGGUGGAAAUAGCUCUAGGGCUUCGUCUCAAUCAUUUACAGUUUGCUGAUGAUUCAUUGCUUUUUACAGAUUGCGAUCAAAACCAGUAUGAGGAGAUGGCUUUGGUGGUAGAAACCUUUUUGUUUGUUUCAGGUUUAAAAAUAAAUUUCAGAAAAUCAGAAGUUUAUGGUGUGAAAGCGCCCCCCAACACUGGUACAAUCAGCAGCAAAUUGGUGGAAUUUCAAGGUUGGAUCAUUACCUUUUAUGUACCUUGGUUCACCUCUAGGAGGUAGUCCUAGGAGAUUGUCGUUUUGGAACCCAGUUCUGGAGAAAUUGGCGGCCAAGCUUUGCACUUGGAAUUCACGCUAUCUAUCACUAAGCGGCAGGUUAGUACUUGUUAAAUCUGUUUUGAAUGCCAUCCCCUUGUAUUACAUGGCACUUUAUAGAGCACCGAAGGGGAUUAUCUUGAGAAUAAAGAGGAUUCUGCGUCGUUUCCUGUGGGGAGGUGUUUCUGGCGAAAAUAAAAUUAUGUGGGUAGAAUGGGAGGAUUUGUGUAAGGGAUCUCGGUAUGGUGGUCUUCGGGUGGGGUUUUUAGAGUGGAAAAAUAAGGCAAUGUUAUUGAAAUGGAUAUGGCGUUUUGGGCGGGAAAAGAAUGCCUUUGUAAGAUCAAGUUUUGAUCUAGUAGUACAACUCUAUGUUUUGAUGAUUACAAGUUAACCUUUUGAUAUGAACAAUUGUGGUACUCUAACGUAUUUUUCUGAGUGUGCUAUUCACAGGCUCUGACCUCAACUCAAUCUCACACAAAUCAGAAGCACUGUGUAUAAAGAGCGACCCAAGCAACGCUUUCGCAUUCACCAUGUUCAGUAUGAACAGUGGAAAAGCUUCAGAAGUUCUGAAGUUAUACAAACUCUGAUGUGGACUCAGUCACUAGAAGUUCUGAAGAUCCAGAAAGUCUGAUAACCAAGAAACACUGAAGGCUCAGAUAUUCUGAUGGUGUAGAAGACUCUGAAGAUCCAGAAGCUGAUUAGUGAAAUUCUGAUGUCCAGAAGCAAGAUACUCUGAAGACCAUGUUCUUCCCUCUGAGUUCAGAAUCAGAAGAAACAAUGGUCAGAGGAUCUGGGCUUUCCCUCUGACUCUGAUCAACCGGCUUCACAAGUUCCAAUAUGAAGCAUUCCCCUGAUCAGAUGUCUCCUAGGUUUAAAGGUCAAGUCGCUAUCCAAGUACAAAAGCAACUGUACCUUCCUGACGACCUACCUAACAGUCUCAGACAUAGCAGAAGCUGGAUUUUCCAGAACUGCCCUCCAACGGUAGCAUUUUCCAUGCAACGCUCAACCCUAAUCCUUGGAGUAUAUAAAGAGGCUGAAGACUGAAAGAAGCGGCUAGAAGCAUUCACAUACGCGCAAGACAUAUUCAAAUUCUUCUAACCUUUCUUUCAUCUGAAAUUCAUUGAGUUUACUAUUAGCUUUUUAGAAGCAAAUCCCUUGUAAACAAUUCUUUGAUAAACAGUUUGUUUAGUUCCUUUAGGAGAUCAAGGUUGAUCGGAUCCUAGAGAAGACUAAGAGAGUGAAUCUUAGUGUGAGCUAAGUCAGUGUAAUUGUUAGUCACUUGUAGGUUUCAAGUGCAGUUGUAACUCUUACCUGAUUAGUGGAUUGCCUUCAUUCUAAGAAGGAAGAAAUCACCUUAACGGGUGGACUGGAGUAGCUUGAGUGAUUUAUCAAGUGAACCAGGAUAAAAUCCUUGUGUGCUUUUCUAUCUCUUAUCUUUAGCACUUAAGUUCUCGAAAGAUUUGUCAAAAUCUUUAAGGUGGAAGCUUUAUCUUGAAAACGUUAUUCAAACCCCCCCUUUCUACCGUUUUUCAUACCUUCAAUUGGUAUCAGAGCGCAAGUUCUGAUUACCACACCUAACAGUGUUCAGUGAUCCGGGCCGGUGUGAAAAACAAUGGCUGCCACCACCAGUGAAACUCAAAGAGAUGGUUACAAUGCAAAGCCUCCUAUGUUCGAAUAUUGGAAAGAUAGACUGGAAAGUUUCUUUCUGGGUUUCGAUGCAGAUCUCUGGGAUAUUAUUGUGGAUGGCUACGAGCGUCCAGUUGAUGCAGAUGGCAAGAAGAUCCCAAGGUCAGAGAUGACUGCAGAUCAAAAGAAGCUGUACUCACAACAUCACAAAGCAAGAGCAAUUCUUCUAAGUGCUAUUUCCUAUGAAGAGUACCAGAAGAUUACAGAUCGUGAGUUUGCGAAAGGCAUUUUCGAAUCUCUGAAGAUGUCUCAUGAAGGAAACAAGAAAGUCAAAGAAUCAAAGGCAUUGUCUUUGAUCCAAAAGUAUGAAUCCUUCAUCAUGGAGCCAAAUGAGUCCAUUGAAGAAAUGUUCUCCAGAUUUCAGUUGCUUGUAGCUGGCAUACGACCUCUCAACAAGAGCUACACAACAAAAGAUCAUGUCAUAAGGGUCAUCAGGUGUCUUCCUGAAAGUUGGAUGCCUUUAGUGACUUCAAUAGAGCUCACGAGAGAUGUUGAGAAUAUGAGUUUAGAAGAACUCAUCAGCAUUUUGAAAUGCCAUGAGCUGAAGCGCUCAGAGAUGCAAGAUCUGAGGAAAAAGUCCAUAGCCUUGAAAUCUAAAUCUGAAAAGGCUAAGGCUGAGAAGUCAAAAGCUCUUCAAGCUGAAGAAGAGGAAUCUGAAGAAGCAUCAGAAGAUUCUGAUGAAGAUGAGCUGACUCUGAUCUCCAAGAGACUCAAUCGCAUCUGGAAGCACAGGCAGAGCAAAUACAAAGGCUCUGGAAAGGCAAAAGGAAAGUCUGAAUCCUCAGGUCAGAAGAAGUCCUCACUUAAGGAAGUCACAUGCUUUGAGUGCAAAGAAUCAGGGCACUACAAAAGUGACUGUCCAAAGUUGAAGAAGGACAAGAAGCCAAAGAAGCACUUCAAGACAAAGAAGAGUCUGAUGGUGACAUUUGAUGAAUCAGAGUCAGAGGAUGUUGACUCUGAUGGUGAAGUCCAAGAACUCAUGGCUAUUGUCAAAGACAAAGAAGCAGAGUCAAAGGGAGUUGUUGACUCUGACUCAGAAUCAGAAGGAGAUCCUAACUCAGACGAUGAAAAUGAGGUAUUCGCUUCUUUCUCUACCUCUGAACUGAAACAUGCAUUGUCUGAUAUCAUGGAUAAGUAUAACUCCUUAUUGUCUAAGCAUAAGAAGCUGAAAAAGGACUUAUCUGCUGUUUCCAAGACUCCUUCUGAACAUGAGAAAAUUAUUUCUGAUUUGAAAAAUGAUAAUCAUGCUUUGAUCAAUUCUAACUCUGUGCUUAAGAACCAGAUUGCUAAGUUAGAAGAAAUUGUUGCUUGUGAUGCCUCUGAUUGUAGAAAUGAGUCUAAGUAUGAAAAGUCUUUUCAAAGAUUCCUAGCUAAAAGCGUGGAUAGAAGCUUAAUGGCUUCAAUGAUCUAUGGCGUAAGCAGAAAUGGAAUGCAUGGCAUUGACUAUUCUAAACCAAUUAGAAAUGAGCCCUCUGUGUCUAAAGCUAAAUCCUUGUAUGAAUGCUUUGUUCCCUCUGGUACCAUAUUGCCUGAUCCUUUACCUGCUAAAGUUGCUAAAAACCCUCUUAAAAAGGGAUCCUUCUCUAUGUCUAAAUAUCAUGCAAAUAUUCCUUUAAAAUAUCAUGUUGAGACACCCAAGGUGAUCAGAACCUCUGGGGUAACUAACAAGAAAGGACCCAGAAAGUGGGUACCUAAGGACAAGAUUAUCUAUGUUGCAGAUAUCCUUGAUAGCUCCACUGAAACACCAAUCAUGGUAUCUGGACAGUGGAUGCUCGCGUCACAUGACGAGAGAAAGACGUAUGUUCCAAGAGCUAAAACUUAAGCCUGGAGGCGAAGUUGGCUUUGGAGGAAAUGAAAAGGGUAAAAUUGUUGGUACUGGUACUAUUUGUGUAGAUAGUAGUCCAUGCAUUGAUAAUGUGUUAUUGGUAGACGGCUUAACACAUAACUGCCGGGCUGUAAGUCAGAUCGAUGGCUCUGUUCUGUUUAACAGCAAGAGGAAGAACAACAUUUAUAAGAUCAGAUAAUCUGAGUUGGAGGCUCAGAAUGUGAAGUGCCUUCUGUCUGUUAAUGAAGAGCAGUGGGUAUGACAUAGACGGUUAGGGCAUGCCAGUAUGAGAAAGAUUUCUCAGCUGAGCAAGCUAAACCUUGUCAGGGGCUUACCCAAUCUGAAGUUUGCUUCAGACGCUCUUUGUGAAGCAUGUCAGAAAGGCAAAUUCACAAAAGUCCCUUUCAAGGCAAAGAAUGUUGUCUCAACCUCAAGGCCGUUGGAACUUCUGCAUAUCGACCUUUUUGGACCAGUGAAAACUGAGUCUAUAGGUGGCAAGAGAUAUGGGAUGGUUAUCGUUGAUGACUAUAGCCGCUGGACAUGGGUAAAGUUUCUAACCCGCAAGGAUGAGUCUCAUGCUGUGUUCUCUACCUUCAUUGCCCAAGUGCAAAACGAGAAGGCUUGUAGGAUUGUGCGUGUCAGAAGUGACCAUGGUGGAGAGUUUGAGAAUGACAAGUUUGAGAGUCUGUUUGAUUCCUAUGGAAUUGCACAUGAUUUCUCUUGUCCCAGAACUCCUCAACAAAAUGGUGUUGUUGAGAGGAAGAACAGAACUCUUCAGGAGAUGGCUAGAACCAUGCUCCAAGAAACUGGCAUGGCUAAGCACUUUUGGGCAGAGGCAGUAAAUACAGCAUGUUACAUUCAGAACAGAAUCUCUGUGAGACCAAUUCUGAAUAAGACUCCCUAUGAAUUGUGGAAGAACAUAAAACCCAACAUUUCUUAUUUUCAUCCUUUUGGCUGUGUUUGUUAUGUUCUCAAUACUAAGGAUAGAUUGCAUAAAUUUGAUGCUAAAUCUUCUAAAUGUCUAUUACUUGGUUAUUCUGAGAGAUCUAAAGGUUUUAAAUUUUAUAAUACUGAUGCUAAGACUAUUGAAGAAUCUAUUCAUGUUAGAUUUGAUGAUAAGCUUGACUCUGACCAGUCAAAGCUAGUUGAGAAGUUUGCAGAUUUAAGCAUUAAUGUUUCUGACAAAGGCAAAGCUCCAGAGGAAGCUGAGCCAGAGGAAGAUGAACCAGAGGAAGAAGCUGGUCCCUCUAACUCACAAACUCUGAAGAAGAGCAGAAUCACUGCAGCUCACCCUAAGGAAUUGAUUCUGGGCAACAAAGACGAACCAGUCAGAACCAGAUCAGCCUUCAGACCCUCUGAAGAGACCUUGCUCAGUCUGAAAGGAUUGGUGUCCUUAAUUGAACCCAAGUCCAUAGAUGAAGCUCUUCAGGACAAGGAUUGGAUUCUGGCCAUGGAAGAAGAAUUGAAUCAAUUCUCCAAGAACGAUGUUUGGAGCUUAGUGAAGAAGCCUGAGAGUGUCCAUGUAAUUGGAACAAAAUGGGUAUUCAGAAACAAGCUGAAUGAGAAAGGAGAUGUAGUCAGAAACAAGGCAAGGCUAGUUGCUCAAGGCUACAACCAGCAGGAAGGAAUAGACUACACUGAAACAUUUGCUCCAGUAGCAAGACUGGAGGCAAUCAGACUGUUGAUCUCUUUCUCAGUGAAUCACAACAUAGUUCUACAUCAGAUGGACGUGAAGAGUGCCUUCCUAAAUGGUUAUAUUUCAGAGGAAGUCUAUGUUCAUCAACCCCCAGGUUUUGAAGAUGAGAAGAAGCCAGACCAUGUGUUCAAAUUGAAGAAGUCACUCUAUGGUCUGAAGCAAGCUCCCAGAGCAUGGUAUGAGAGACUCAGCUCAUUCCUUCUGGAGAAUGAGUUUGUAAGGGGUAAAGUAGAUACAACUCUUUUUUGCAAGACUUAUAAAGAUGAUAUCUUAAUAGUGCAAAUUUAUGUUGAUGAUAUUAUAUUUGGUUCUGCUAAUCAAUCUCUAUGCAAAGAAUUUUCUGAGAUGAUGAAGGCUGAAUUUGAGAUGAGUAUGAUGGGAGAAUUAAAGUACUUUCUGGGAAUACAAGUUGAUCAAACACCAGAAGGAACAUAUAUCCAUCAGAGCAAGUACACUAAAGAACUUCUGAAGAAGUUCAAUAUGCUGGAAUCUACAGUGGCCAAGACUCCAAUGCAUCCUACAUGCAUUCUGGAGAAAGAAGAUAAAAGUGGUAAAGUAUGUCAGAAGCUCUAUCGUGGCAUGAUAGGUUCACUUCUAUACUUAACUGCAUCUAGGCCAGACAUACUAUUUAGUGUUCAUUUAUGUGCUCGUUUCCAAUCAGAUCCAAGGGAAACCCACUUAACUGCUGUUAAGAGGAUCCUAAGGUAUCUGAAAGGCACCACUAACCUUGGCUUGAUGUAUAAGAAAACAUCAGAGUAUAAGCUUUCAGGUUAUUGUGAUGCUGAUUAUGCUGGAGAUAGAACAGAGAGAAAAAGUACUUCUGGAAAUUGUCAAUUUCUGGGAAGCAAUCUAGUCUCAUGGGCAAGCAAGAGGCAAUCAACCAUUGCACUAUCAACUGCAGAGGCAGAAUAUAUCUCAGCAGCAAUAUGCAGCACUCAGAUGCUCUGGAUGAAACAUCAGCUGGAGGAUUAUCAGAUCCUUGAGAGCAAUAUCCCAAUCUAUUGUGAUAACACUGCUGCAAUCUCAUUGAGUAAGAAUCCUAUCUUGCAUUCAAGGGCAAAGCACAUUGAGGUAAAGUAUCACUUUAUUAGAGAUUAUGUACAGAAGGGCGUACUUCUUCUGAAGUUUGUUGAUACUGACCAUCAAUGGGCAGAUAUCUUUACAAAGCCCUUAGCAGAGGAUAGAUUUAAUUUUAUUCUGAAAAAUCUGAACAUGGACUUUUGUCCAGAGUGAAGAUGGAUCAGAACCUCUGACUAUGAUACUUCUUGAUCAGAAGAUGUCUAGUCCAGAAGGUAACUCAAUCAGAGUGUGUGUACCCAUUGGUACGGACUCUGAAGCUGAGACAGCAACACGUGUGUCAGUAUUUCUGAUGCAUAGUUCCUUGUGCCCGUGUGACAGUCUGUCAUGUUGCGUGUAGAUGUGCUUCUCUCCUGUGUGUGAUAUGUGUAUUUACUAUUACUAUCUAUCUUUAAUUUUCAACCGUUGAUUUUAAAUUGCUUUUUGAAUCAACAACGGUUAUUUGUCAAAACCCACUAUACACACACGAUCUCCUUCACUUUCGGUUUUUACUCUCUCUCUCUUCUGCUAUUUCAAAACCGCUUACCCUCGAUUUCUCUCUCGAUCUCUCUUCAUCUUUCAACCUUCAUCUUCUACCUAAACCUUCAACCGCUCCAAAAAUGGUGAGUCAAACCAGAAGAGCUACUGCAGAUGCAACCCAGUUCCCUCAUAUGGUAGUUGGUCUAGCAACAGGUCAAAGGGGUCCUGAGAAUCCGAAUCAAGAUCAAGGUCAAGCUCAAGAGCAGAUUAUUCCGAUUGCAGAACGGGGCUGUGCCGUUCACUGCGUAUAUGCUCCUGAGGAACUUCAAGUACUGGCAGAAUGGAGAUUCGACCUCGACAACCUUGCUACAAAUGGGUAUGAUCUUCGUCCUGAAGUCCAAGCUCAAGGUUGGGGAAAUUACUUCAACAGGCUUCGAGGACCGGUGUAUGACAAACUGAUCAAGGAAUUCUGGAAGCACGCCGACUGCGAUGAUACUCAGGUGGUAUCUCACAUUCUUGGAAGGAAGAUCAUCAUUACAGAGAAGUCUUUCGUGAAUCUGCUGUGUGCAGAAACUGCUCUUGGGUAUCGUUUCCAAUUCACUGAAUCGAAGCUGAAACCCAAGACGAAGGAUGAGACCAACAAGGCCCUGUACACCAAUUACAAACCGGGCAAGACUAAUUACAAAGUGAUGGACCUUCAUCCCAAGCUCAGGAUCUGGCACAAGAUUUUGCUCAACUGCAUACACCAGAGACCAAAGGGCAGUUCCCCAGACUACAUCAACUUCAACCAGAAGGCGAUGUUGUUCUUCAUCCAAGACAAGAAGAAGAUCUGCCUUCCCUACUUCCUGUUCUCCUACUUGAAGGAGUGUAUCCGGAAGUCUCGUACCACUGCCUCCAUCAAGUCAGCAAUCAAGUAUAUUCCCUUUGGGAGACUGUUGUCUGAUCUCUUCAUUGAGAGUGGCCUCAUUCAAGAUCUGGUAAAUGCUGGAUGCACAGAGGAUCUGACCACCAUUGUCAGUGAUGUCUUCACUGCGAAUUCUCUAAAGAAAAUGGGCCUAGUCAAGAAGAAGAUUGCUCCUGCCCAUGAAGACACAUCUUCUGAAAUCAGAAGUAGAAGGGUGCCUCUGUGGACACAGGCAGACAAUCCUGAAGCCAUUAGGUGCUAUGUUGAAGACCUAAGGGCUCAAGGCUAUGAAAUUGAUCUCGAUGAAUUCUUCAGCAGACUACCGCCAGCUCCAGAGUUUCCUUCUCCUAUCAAGAAGAAAGUUCAGAGGAAGAUGAUCCUAGAAGAAUCUUCUGAGGAAUCAGAUGUCCCUCUGACCAAAGGGAAGAAGGCUGGUCAAUCCAAGAGAAAACAUGAUGAAACCAGCAAGCCAGAUGAUGGUGAUAAUGAGGAUGGUCCUCCUUCUCCUAAGAAGAAGAAGAAGCAGGUCAGAAUUGUGGUGAAGCCUACUCGGGUGGAACCAGCUGCUGAAGUGAUCAGAAGGAUUGAAACUCCUGCCAGAGUGACAAGAUCAUCAGCACAAUCAAGUAAGUCUGCAGUUGCUUCUGAUGAUGAUUUGAAUUUAUUUGAUGCACUCCCCAUAUUAGCCAUGCUCAAACAAUCUUCAAAUCCACUCCCUCCUAUUUCUGAGUCCCAACCAGCUGCACAAACCACCUCUCCUCCACAUUCCCCAAGGUCUUCAUUUUUUCAACCUUCUCCUACUGAAGCACCUAUCUGGAAUUUGCUCCAGAACCAACCCUCUAGGCCAGAUGAACCAACCUCUCCCAUUACCAUCCAGUACAACCCAUUAACUUCUGAACCCAUCAUCCAUGAGCAACCAGAGCCUAACCAAACAGAACCUGGACCCAGAACCUCUGAUCACUCUGUCCCAAGAGCAUCAGAACGUCUGGCUCCCAGAACCACGGAUACAGACUCUUCCACAGCCCUUACACCUGUAUCCUUCCCAACAAAUGUUGCUGACUCUUCUCCUUCCAACAACUCUGAAUCCCUUCGAAAAUUCAUGGAAGUUAGAAAAGAAAAGGUGUCUACCUUAGAAGAAUAUUACCUCACUUGUCCAAGCCCUAGGAGAUAUCCUGGCCCUAGACCUGAACGUCUAGUUGACCCAGAUGAACCUAUCUUGGCCAAUCCUUUACAUGAGGCAGACCCUUUGGCUCAACAAGCUCACCCUGCCCCUAACCAACAAGAGCCUGUUCAACCAGAACCUGAACCAGAACAAUCUGUGUCUAACCACUCCUUAGUUAGAUCACCCCAUCCUCUGGUUGAAACUUCAGAACCUCACCUUGGAACCUCUGAACCAAAUGCUCAAAUGUUUAACAUUGGCUCUCCACAAGGUGCCUCUGAAGCUCACAGCAGCAAUCACCCAGCCUCUCCUGAAACCAACCUCUCUAUAAUUCCUUACACUCACCUCCGACCCACAUCUCUCUCUGAGUGCAUCAAUAUUUUCUAUCAUGAAGCCUCAUUGAUGCUACGCAAUGUGCAAGGUCAGACUGACCUAAGCGAGAAUACUGAACAUGUGGCUGAAGAGUGGAACAAUCUGAGCACUUGGCUAGUGGCUCAAGUUCCAGUUAUGAUGCAGCUCCUGCAUGCAGAGGGAAGUCAGAGGAUCGAGGCUGCAAAGCAAAGGCUUGCUAGAAGGGUGGCUCUUCAUGAACAAGAACAGAGACAUAAGCUACUUGAAGCUAUUGAAGAAGCCAAAAGAAGGAAAGAACAAGCAGAAGAAGCUGCACGUCAAGCAGCAGCUCAAGCUGAACAAGCCAGAUUAGAGACAGAACGACUUGAAGCUGAGGCUGAAGCUCUUAGAUGCCAAGCACUUGCACCCGUAGUUUUUACUCCUGCUGCUUCUGCUUCCACUCCAGCCCCUCACGCUGCUCAGAAUGUUCCUUCUAGUUCUACACAGCCAAACUCGUCCAGACUCGACAUUGUGGAACAACGUCUUGACGCUCAUGAGUCUCUGCUGAUUGAAAUGAAGCAAAUGAUGAUGGAACUUCUGCGUCGAUCUGAUAAACCCUAGCUUUAGGAUCUCUUCGUUUUGAUUUCUUUUUCUUUAUCUGUGUUUUAUUUCGUUAACCUCUGGCUCUUUCUUGUUAAUCUUUACUUUGCUCGUUUGUGAUUAUCUAUGCAUAUAUAUAUAUAUAUAUCUGACAUUAUGUUUGCAAUUUUUUUUAUUAUUAUUCAUCAUAACCGCUUUUACAUCAUACAUUUUCUCUCUUUUUCCUAAAAUCCUAGAAUGGAGGAUCCCUCCUCAUUCUUCUGCACUCCUGGCGCUGCUCUGACCUCUCCUUCUCCAGACGCUCCAGUGCAUACUGGAUGUUGUUGAGCCUGUCUUUUAGCUCAUCCCUCUCCAGAAUCUCUUAUGCAGUCUUGAGCUUCUUUUCCAAGAUCUCUUUUUCUUCCAGCAGCUUUAGUUCAAGCUGGCUGAGUUCUUGCACCUCCUCCACGAAGGCGAGAAAUUCCCUCAAGUCUCUCUUCAACUCUGGACGCAGGUCCUCCUCCAGCAGUGUCCGUGUUAGCUCUGAGAUGGUUGUUGUACCCUCUGGAUGCCUAAUGUUGAGAAACAAGUCCUCCUCAAAGGCUCUCUUUCUCAGCUCCUCUAAUGCGAUCAUGUCUGACGCCAUUUUUCUCUGGUAUGAUGUUGUGAAGCUUACCCCUCUCUCCAACGCUUUAUAUAGGCUUCACUUUCUCUCUGAAAGUUAAUGCUCCUACAGUUUCUCGAGGUUAAGUUCUUGGUAACUGACCCUCCUCUUUACUCCCUUGGCCGGUGGUAAACGUUCUUAUCUUGCAUUAACUCUUCUAUUUAUUUCGCCUAACUCUGAUUCAUGCAUCGUUUUCAUUUUCUUUAAACUUAGACCUUCUCUAAGGGGGAGUACCUUGUACUUCAAGCUAAGUUUUUCACACCCCAAGCUUUUUGCUUAUGACAAAAAGGGGGAGUAAACCCAGUUUUUGAUGUGUAAGAUGUGUUAGUGUGAUUUAUUUUUCUUUUGGAGAAUUUAAGAGUUCCACCUUUAUGACCAUAGAUGUGUCACUGGGCAAAUACAAGGAAUACAUUUCACUUCUUCUGAAGUGAUUCUAAUUUGACUCUGAUACCCAAGACUCUGAUACCUUGUCCGUGACUCUGAUUACUUAUGCGCUCUGAUUACUCUAUUUUCAUCUAUGUCAUAAGUUUUUCACUCUGAACUCUUAUAUCAUUUAGCUCAGAAUCUAGACUUUACUAAUGUUUUCAUCAAGUAUUAGAUUCAGGGGGAGCUAAGCUCAGAAUCAAGCAGUGACUUGAAUUCAGAAUGAGCAAGAUAAACUAUUCACAUCAGGAUAAGUCUUGUUCUAUAUCUCUAAACUCUGAGUGAAUUCAGUUUAAUGUUUAAGAAUUGUUCAUCAAAAAUCUUAGUUUUGUCAUCAUCAAAAAGGGGGAGAUUGUAAGAUCAAGUUUUGAUCUAGUAGUACAACUCUAUGUUUUGAUGAUUACAAGUUAACCUUUUGAUAUGAACAAUUGUGGUACUCUAACGUGUUUUUCUGAGUGUGCUAUUCACAGGCUCUGACCUCAACUCAAUCUCACACAAAUCAGAAGCACUGUGUAUAAAGAGCGACCCAAGCAACGCUUUCGCAUUCACCAUGUUCAGUAUGAACAGUGGAAAAGCUUCAGAAGUUCUGAAGUUAUACAAACUCUGAUGUGGACUCAGUCACUAGAAGUUCUGAAGAUUCAGAAGGUCUGAUAACCAAGAAACACUGAAGGCUCAGAUAUUCUGAUGGUGUAGAAGACUCUGAAGAUCCAGAAGCUGAUUAGUGAAAUUCUGAUGUCCAGAAGCAAGAUACUCUGAAGACCAUGUACUUCCCUCUGAGUUCAGAAUCAGAAGAAACAAUGGUCAGAGGAUCUGGGCUUUCCCUCUGACUCUGAUCAACCGGCUUCACAAGUUCCAACAUGAAGCUUUCUCCUGAUCAGAAGUCUCCUAGGUUUAAAGGUCAAGUCGCUAUCCAAGUACAAAAGCAACUGUACCUUCCUGACGACCUACCUAACAGUCUCAGACACAGCAGAAGCUGGAUUUUCCAGAACUGCCCUCCAACGGUAGCAUUUCCCAUGCAACGCUCAACCCUAAUCCUUGGAGUAUAUAAAGAGGCUGAAGACUGAAAGAAGCGGCUAGAAGCAUUCACAUACGCGCAAGACAAAUUCAAAUUCUUCUAAGCUUUCUUUCAUCUGAAAUUCAUUGAGUUUACUAUUAGCUUUUUAGAAGCAAAUCUCUUGUAAACAAUUCUUUGAUAAACAGUUUGUUUAGUUCCUUUAGGAGAUCAAGGUUGAUCGGAUCCUAGAGAAGACUAAGAGAGUGAAUCUUAGUGUGAGCUAAGUCAGUGUAAUUGUUAGUCACUUGUAGGUUUCAAGUGCAGUUGUAACUCUUACCUGAUUAGUGGAUUGCCUUCAUUCUAAGAAGGAAGAAAUCACCUUAACGGGUGGACUGGAGUAGCUUGAGUGAUUUAUCAAGUGAACCAGGAUAAAAUCCUUGUGUGCUUUUCUAUCUCUUAUCUUUAGCACUUAAGUUCUCGAAAGAUUUGUCAAAAUCUUUAAGGUGGAAGCUUUAUCUUGAAAACGUUAUUCAAACCCCCCCCCCCCCUUUCUACCGUUUUUCAUACCUUCAGCCUUGUGGCAGAGGGUGCUCUGUGGGAAAUAUGGGUUGCCUAUGGAAUUAAUAUCUUUUAAUUUGGAUAUUUUAGCAUCUACAAAUAUGUCUACCCCUCUAGCUGAUGUGUGUGCAAUUUAGCGCGAAAGUGGGCUGGUUGGGAGUGUGUUCAAAGAUGGCUUAGCUUGUCAAGUUGGAAGGGGGUAGGUGUUUUAUUCUGGAUAGAUCAUUGGGCGGGCUCAGGUCCUUUUAGGCUUGUAUUCCCUCGUGUAUUUGCUCUAGCUGCGAAUAAGAGAGCUACGAUCAGGGAGUGUGGGGUGGUUACAGGGUCUCAGUGGGUAUGGAAUAUAGCUUUUUUGAGGGAAUUUUUGGGCUGGGAACGUCAACAGUAUGAAGAGUUACAGUGUGUCCUGAAUCAGUUGGUUCCAAAGCAGGGAGCCCGAGCAGAAGCAGACAUCAUGGUAUGGAAGCAUGACAAUAUGUUUACUGUUAAAUCUCUAUGUUCUGUAGUUGAGGCACGAUGGUUCACAGAGGACGGUUGGUCAAUUCCUAAAGUAUUAAGGCCUAUUUUACCUUCAAAAAUUGUUUUAUUUUUGUGGCAGGUGCAGAAGAAUAGAAUUGCUACUAAAGAGAAUUUGCAGCGUCGUGGUGUAGUUUUGGAGGGGGGGGGGUGGAGUGUGUUUUUUGCAUGACUGCACCUGAGACUGUGGCACAUCUUUUUAUGCAUUGUCCUAAGGUUUGGCAUUUAUGGACAUCAGUGUUAUUUAGGGAAGGAGUUUGGUGGGUGAUGCCAGAAUCGAUUCUGGAUCUUUUGGAAGUUUGAGUAUCAAUGCGGAGAACAACCUCAAGAGUUUUGUGAGAUUUGAUUCCCUAUGCGAUGUGUUGGGUAUUAUGGUUGGCUAGAAAUAAUGUGAUUUUUAAUGACAAACUUUUUGAUGCAGAGGAAGCAUGGGAGUCUCAUAUAUUUAUGAUGUUCACCUGGAUAAAAGCAUGGUGGAAGGAUUGUCCAUAUGGGGCAGAUCAAUUUGCUAGAGGUUUUACAAGAAUUGAUAUUCAAGGGAAGGUUGGUUUUCGUCAAGUGGUACCUUGGAAACCUCCUCACGGUAUGAAUUUAAAGUUUAAUGUUGAUGGGUCUUUUCAAUCUGGCAGUGUUGGAAUUGGUGGAAUUCUAAGGAAUAGUGGGGGAAGUGUGAUAGGUAAAUUCUCAAGGAAAGUUGAGGUUCAGAGAGCUGAUGAGGCUGAGGUUUUGGCCAUUUUGUAUGCUCUCCUGUUUUGUCAGCAAUACAUGAUUUUUUCAGUGGAAGUGGAGAGUGAUUCUAUUCUUGCAGUUGGUUGGGUGAGAGGGGAAAAGCAGAGACCUUGGAAGCUGGCAAAUGAGCUAAACAUGAUUGAUUACUUGAUGCCACUUGUCAAGUGCAUUGGAGUGAAGCAUAUAUUACGGGAAGGGAAUGCAGAGGCAGAUGAGUUGGCCAAGCAAGGUUGCUUUUGUAUGGAACCGGUUUGGUUAUUCUUAGGGUGCUAGAUACAUUGGUGCAAUUCACUGUUUUAGUUUUCUUUUUGCUGUAGGAAAUCUAAUAUAAGCUGAAGAACAAAUUGGUGCAUUUGGUAGCUUAUGUAGAUUCUUGGUUGCUGAACUUGCUGCUGAGUUGUAGAUUGACGAAUGCGUCACAAAUGGAAUUUUUGUAAUUGAUGUCGUUGUUGAAGUAAACAAUGCUGUUGCUGUUUUUGCUGUUGUUGUUGGCUGUUAUCACUGUUACUGCUGUUUCUGUUUUGCUGUUGCUGUUGAAAUUCUGUUGCUGUUGCUGUUGCUGUUGCUGUCGCUGUUGGCUGUUGCUGAAAUUCGAAAAUUAUAACAAUGCUGGUGCUGUUGCUGUUGCUGAAUUCCGAAAAUAAUAAGCUUGUUGGUGCGGUUUUGUUGUUGUUGCAGCUGUAUUAUGGUGCUGUUCUUGUCUGAUGUUUGUUGCACUACGAACAUGCAUAGUCUGGCUCUUCUGGGAUCUUUAAUUUCCUGUACUUCUCCCAACUACGCUAUAUUAGCUUUUUCAUGCUUGUAGGGGCUAUUUUCGUUUGAAUCUUGUUGUGAAAUGGUUAUCCCAAGAUUGUGGUACUCUUUUUCCUUGCUAGGUUUUUAUCCCAUUGGGUUUUUCCUAGCAAGAUUUUAAUGAAGCUCUCUCUUGAGAAUUCGGUUGUGCCAUUUUGCAGGUUGGUGGUGGGUUUUUAUUUCUCAGCCUCAUGUAACUUGUACUUUGCCUGUUUUGCUUCUUUGGCUCAGGCUAUUUCAUUAUUAAUAUAUCUUUCAUUUUCAAAAAAAAAAUUUAUUCAAUUUUUUAAAACAAAAAAUAGUUUUUAGAAACUUUAAUAAAAAAGGCCCUUAAUAAUUUCAUUAUUAUAAAUUCUUAUAAGUAUAAUAUUUUAUCAAAAUAAAUAAAUAAUGGAAUUGAAAAAUAAAUUCAAUUUUUUUUUUAUCUUUAACGGAUGUUCUCGCCCGUUUGAGAAAGUAAAAAAAUAUAGGUAUUCCUUACAAAAAAGACUUUUUUAAGAUCGGACUUGUAUUCUAAUUAUUACCGGAUCUAGUUUGGUUACUACUAGACUAAUACUUAUUAGUAUGCAUACAAUGUAUAAAAUGUUUAUUGGUUUAAGAAACAUUUUUUUGGAUAAAAAAUGCAUAAUUUGUUUAUCAGAGAAUACUUUUUGGUUUAAUUUUAGUAUUUAAAUUAAGAAAAAGUGUUUGUGCAAAUAUAUAGUAGCAUAACACAUGUGUUUGUGCAAAUAUAUAGUAGCAUUCCUCCUCUAAGAAAAACACACGUGAAUAAGAAUAAAGACAAGAUUAAAAAAAAAAUUAACCGUUUUUCAUUGAAAAAUGAAUAUAAAUAAUGACUAUUUUUCACUUGGCACACACAAUUUUUCCUUUACAUUCUAUUCUCUGAAGAAGACUCAAGGUUGAGCAUGUAGCCCUCCCCUCAAUUUUCAUCCACCAUUGGAGUUAAGCUUACACUUACUUAUUGCUUGCACAACACAAGGUCAUAGUAGUUUUCCUUUCACUUUGAGGUUCUUAGAUGGUACCAUGUAGAUUGAUUGUGAUAUUAUAGAGCUUAUAGGGGUUACUCAAUUCAAUGUUUACUUUACGGUGCAAAUGGGUAUUUUUUUCUUAUGACCUAUGUUUAAAAAGAUUGAUGCUCGCAAGGUGUUUGUUAAAAUGCUUAGUUAAUAGAAUGUUUAGCUAGUGUGUGAUUGGGUAAGAGAUUGUUAAGGAUCUUUGUAAAUUUGAUGUCAAAAGAUUUUUCCAAUUUGAGUACCCCAAUUAAAUGGUUUGCAUCCAAUUUGAAUAUAUAUACUUCCAAGAUUAAGGUAGCAAGAAACAGAAAUAAAGAAUAGGGGAAGAAACAGAGAUACGAAAAACAGGGAAAGGGAAAAAAGCAUUGGUGAAGCAUGGGUGAGUGAUAUCGUUGUGACCAUGAAGUAUGUUCCAGACUUUAUUUACCUAUGUCGUUGUGAUGCCAAGCAUCUUCCUGACUUCCCUUUAGAGUAUAAUUUAAAGAGCAUGUUAUAUAGCUAUUUGAUAUUCAAUCUAUCAUAGUCGGUGCACUGUUAAGUAUCCUCUUCAUAUGUACCUUAGAUGCAUGAAAUGCACAUCAUAUUGUUUUUUCCAAAUCUAUUGUUUGUUUUACUGUGCAAAUGAGCAGUUGUUUGUUGAAAUGCUUAGUGCGUGAUUGUGUUGAGUGAUUAUCUUUGCAAAUUUGAUGCAAAUACAAAUUCUAAAUCAAGGUCAACAGUGGAGCACAUUUCAAACAAGAAAAGGAAGCGCGGUUCAAACAAGAAAAAGAAAGAUGCCAAGAAGAAGAAGAUUUUUUUUCAAAGAAGACAAAGGGGACAAAUGACUAUUUAUAACAUAGCAAUACAAUAAUUACUCUUAUUUUGUAGGUUGAAGCCAAGACUCUAAUCAUUAGCAUAUUGUACACUAAAUCCCCAGAGAAUGAUAGGUUGCAAUGGUGCCAUCAGGAUGCGUUAACACUCAAAGAAAAACUAACACCACUUGGAUUCAUGGACACAAAUAUAUUGAUGAUGUCAGAUAGUUACUAAAGCAAAGAAGAAUCAGAAUGUCCUAGUAUACAUUGGAAGUCAUGGUGUUCUUGAUGAUUAUAACAAUGAGAUUUUAGCAUCAGAUGGAGACGUGGUUAAGGGUAAGUAUUUUGCACAAUUUGGAAAUUUGUUACAAAACCAUUGAGUAAUACAACUUUUUUCCUUUGACAGAUGAGCUAUUCUCUCAAGAAGACUCAAGGUUGAGUAUGUAGCCCUCCCCUCCACUUCCAUCCACAAAUGGAGUCAAGCUUGCACUUACUUAUCCCUUGCACAACACAACGUAAUAGUAGUUCUCAGAUCAUACCAUGUAGAUUGAUUGUGAUAUUGUAGAGCUUAUAGGGGUUACUCAAUUCAAUGUUUACUUUACGAUGCAAAUGAGAAUUUUUUUCUUAUGACCUAUGUUUAAAAAGAUUGAUGCUCGCAAGGUGUUUGUUAAAAUGCUUAGUUAAUAGAAUGUUUAGCUAGUGUGUGAUUGGGUAAGAGAUUGUUAAGGAUCUUUGUAAAUUUGAUGUCAAAAGAUUUGUCCAAUUUGAGUACCCCAAUUAAAUGGUUUGCAUCCAAUUUGAAUAUAUAUACUUCCAAGAUAAAGGUAACAAAAAACAGAAAUAAAGAACAGGGGAAGAAACAGAGAUACGAAAAACAGGGAAAGGGAAAAAAGCACAGGUGAAGCAUGGGUGAGUGAUAUCAUUGUGACCAUGAAGUAUGUUCCAGACUUCCAUUAUAUCACAAAUGCAACGUUGUGAUCAUGAUUGAGAAAGUGUCACAAAUGCUUUGCCUAUGUCGUGGUGAUGCCAAGCAUCUUCCUGACUUCCCUUUAGAGUAUAAUUUAAAGAGCAUGUUAUAUAGCUAUUUGAUAUUCAAUAUAUCAUAGUCGGUGCACUGUUAAGUAUCCCCUUCAUAUGUACCUUAGAUGCAUGAAAUGCACAUCAUAUUGUUUCUUCCAAAUCUAUUGUUUGUUUUACUGUGCAAAUGAGCAGUUGUUUGUGGAAAUGCUUAGUGUGUGAUUGUGUUGAGUGAUUAUCUUUGCAAAUUUGAUGCAAAUACAAAUUCUAAAUCAAGGUCAACAAUGGAGCACAUUUCAAACAAGAAAAGGAAGCGCGGUUCAAACAAGAAAAAGAAAGAUGCCAAGAAGAAGAAGAGAGCCGAUUGUAAAGUAGCAUCAACUUCAGCUUCAGUGGAGCAGGUAUACCUUCUUUUUGUCCAAAGAAGAAAAAGGGGACAAAUGACUAUUUAUAACAUAGCAAUACAAUAAUUACUCUUAUUUUGUAGGUUGAAGCCAAGACUCUAAUCAUUAGCAUAUUGUACACUAAAUCCCCAGAGAAUGAUAGGUUGCAAUGGUGCCAUCAGGAAGCGUUAGCACUCAAGGAAAAGCUAACACCACUUGGAUUCAUGGACACAAAUAUAUUGAUGAUUUCAGAUAGUUACUAAAUCAAAGAAGAAUCAGAAUGUCCUAGUAUACGUUGGAAGUCAUGGUGUUCUUGAUGAUUAUAACAAUGAGAUUUUAGCAUGAGAUGGAGACGUGGUUAAGGGAAAGUAUUUUGCAAAAUUUUGAAAUUUGUUAUAAAACCAUUGACUAAUAAAAUUUUUUCCUUUGACAGAUGAGCUAUUCUCUGAAGAAGACUCAAGGUUGAGUAUGUAGCCCUGCCCUCCAUUUCCAUCCACCAUUGGAGUCAAGCUUGCACUUACUUAUUUCUUGCACAACACAAGGUAAUAGUAGUUUUCCUUUCACAUAUGUGUUUGGUCCUAAGACUAAAAGGAAGCGCCCCUGCCUCUUGGCUUUUGAUUAUCAGUCCUUAGCUAAGAAAGCUCAUGUUGCACAAGGUAAAACUUAUGGCUGGCGUGGCUUAUUUCUGAUUUAGCUUUAGCAUGUUGGAUUCUUUGUGUUUUUCAAUUAACUGUGAUCCGUGGAAUUAUAGCUUCAUGUGGCAGUACUUGUUUUUUGGGAUAGGUCACCACUUCAACCGUUAAUGUAAUUGUUGUUAUAAUCAUUUUCCUAUAUCACUUUGCAGACGCUUUUGAAGAAAAGUAUGGUGCAGGUGCUAGUGGAACUCCACAAGCUAAUGAAGCAGAUGGAUUUAUAGAUUUACUGGGGCAUACCAUGUUUCAGAAAGGUCAAAGCAAGCACAUUUCAGGUAAGCUCUACAAGGUCAUCGAUUCUUCAGAUGUUGUUGUCCAGGUAAAAUCUCAUCUUUUGCUGUAAUUUUGUUCAACUUUCUUCAUAUCACUAUCAUCAUGCAAGUGUGUUAUCCCAAGUAUUGAUGUUUAUGUAUCAUAAUGCAGGUUCUAGAUGCAAGGGAUCCUCAAGGCACACGGUGUUACCAUUUAGAGAAGCUAUUCAAAGAAAAUUGCAAGUACAAGCACAUGGUGCUUUUACUGAACAAGGUAAUGGCUAAUUCGCAUCAUUGUAUUUGUAUCUUCUUGUUAUUGUUCUAAAACUUCACUGAACAUCAUAACUUGCUAUUUUCGGCAUUUUAAAUCAUCAUUUUUUUAGUGUGAUCUGAUUCCGGCUUCGGCAACAAAAGGGUGGCUUAGAGUUUUGUCAAAAGAAUAUCCAACUCUAGCAUUCCAUGCAAGCAUUAACAAGUCCUUCGGAAAGGUAUAUUUAGUAUACCUUAGUUAUUUGUUUAGUUUAUCCAUCAAUUUACUGAAUGUGGUAUCCUUCAUGAAGGAAAUGAAAGAUUAUUGAAGUUGGAGAUAACACAUCUUGCUUUCUCUCAUUUAACUAGUCCAUUCAUUCAUCAAUUUGAUAUUUUCUUAAUGGUCAUUAUCAUGCAAUAGGGCUCACUUCUAUCGGUUCUGAGACAAUUUGCUCGAUUGAAAAGUGAUAAGCAAGCAAUAUCUGUUGAAUUUAUUGGAUAUCCAAAUGUUGGGAAGUCAUCAGUGAUUAAUACGUUGCGAACGAAAAAUGUAAAUAUUCUUUCUCCUUAACUGCUUCAGGCUUCUGUUUAAUUUGUUUAGUAUGGAAGCUUGAAAUUAAUGAAAGCAUAGAAGCGCAAAUUUAUCCUCUAUGGAAUCAAUAUUUAAAACUUUGUUGUCGAAUGAGCAUUUUAUCAUGUUGAUUGACGUGUGCCAUUAUGUGUCAAAGGUCGGCAAGGUUGCUCCAAUUCCAGGGGAAGCAAAAGUAUGGCAGUAUAUAACUCUUACAAAGGUCGGCAAGGUUGAUCGACUGUCCAGGUGUUGUUUACCAAAACAAGGAUUCUGAAGUAGAUGUUGUGCUGAAGGGCGUGGUAGGUUUCCUCCUGUGUUCUUCAAUUUUGUUUGUCAUUCACCUUAAUAAAUAAUAUUAUGGUCAGACUUUUUUUUUGUUUAAUGUUAUUUCUGCCGAACACAAUGGCUUUGGUUGUUGUAAUUUGUUUUUAGUGCUUUUCAUUUUAUUAUUUAGGGAUAUGGUGUCAACCAAUCAACCCGGUAGUCUCCAGUGAUAUAUAUUUUGUUGAGUUGUUGUCUAGUGGUAUAGUAUACAUUUUUAUAUGUAAAACUUAGUCCCAUAAUGAGCUAUUCUUAGGGUUUGCAAGACUGAAUAUGGGCUACAGGGCUAGUGGAUUAUCUCUUUAACCCAGGUUCAAACACACUAGUGGUAUCUGUGGCAUUCUUGCCCACAAAAUAUGAUUAUGAUCAAUAUUGCUUCUCCCCUUAUGUUGAUUUGUUAGAUUGGUGACUAAUUGUUAUUGAUAUGUUCCGAUGUAUUGAGUUAUAGUGAGUUCACCUACCAACCUAAUGAUCAUAGCUUUUAUUGGGUUGUUUUAUGUUACAAAUUCUAAAUCUGUUUGCCUGGGCUCAUGCUUGUUUUGCUUGCUCAAUGAAUAAUUUACUCCUGCUUUCAUAUUCUAACAGAAAUUCGUGUGAAAUUUAUUUUGCAUAUUAGUUGUGUAGAAUGUAGAUAUGUUGUAGUAGUAAUAAUACAAAUAAUAAUAACAAUAAUUGUAGAGUGUACAAUUAUCAUCAUCAUUAUAGUCUUGGCUUAGUACUUGAUUUAUUUUCAGGUACGUGUAACAAACUUGAAAGAUGUUGCGGAUCGUAUAGGUGAGGUUUUGAAACGUGUGAUGAAGGAGCACUUGCACAGAGCAUAUAAAAUGAAAGAGUGGUAUGUUUUCUUGUCUCCUAACUCCAUGGUGACAAGUAGGUCGCUCUAGAGUGUUCUCACCUUUUGUAAUUGUGUUGGCAGAAAACGACCUAAGUUUGCAAUCUUUGGCAUUGAGAAAUCUGUGUUAUUGUAGUUGUUAUAUAAGAACACCAUUAUCAUACUGUGUCAUCCAACCAACCCCAUGAAAUUGACCUAAGUUUGCAAUCUUUGUCAACUACUCCUUCCGUUCCAAUGCAUUUUUUUUCUCACUUUCUUACUUUUAUAUCAUCAUUUAGUUUUAUAUCUCUUCCCUACCACCUUCAAUUGUCACCUAUCACAACUCUCACUAUGCACUUAAAAAAUAAUUAUUUUUCUCUCUACUUAAUAUAGCUAAACUUUAAAGCGUAUUUUAGUCAACUAUUUUAUCAAAUAGUGAUUUCUUAAUUCUCGUGCAUAACCUUAAACAACAUAAAUAUUGAAACGGUGGGAGUGCAAAACUAUAGACUUUUGAAAAUAGAAAUUGUUUAAAAUUGACAGCCUGAGACUAUUAUAUCAGGCUGCAACCUUUUGCUCAUUUGGUCUGAAUCGUAAAAUNNNNNNNNNNNNNNNNNNNNNNNNNNNNNNNNNNNNNNNNNNNNNNNNNNNNNNNNNNNNNNNNNNNNNNNNNNNNNNNNNNNNNNNNNNNNNNNNNNNNNNNNNNNNNNNNNNNNNNNNNNNNNNNNNNNNNNNNNNNNNNNNNNNNNNNNNNNNNNNNNNNNNNNNNNNNNNNNNNNNNNNNNNNNNNNNNNNNNNNNNNNNNNNNNNNNNNNNNNNNNNNNNNNNNNNNNNNNNNNNNNNNNNNNNNNNNNNNNNNNNNNNNNNNNNNNNNNNNNNNNNNNNNNNNNNNNNNNNNNNNNNNNNNNNNNNNNNNNNNNNNNNNNNNNNNNNNNNNNNNNNNNNNNNNNNNNNNNNNNNNNNNNNNNNNNNNNNNNNNNNNNNNNNNNNNNNNNNNNNNNNNNNNNNNNNNNNNNNNNNNNNNNNNNNNNNNNNNNNNNNNNNNNNNNNNNNNNNNNNNNNNNNNNNNNNNNNNNNNNNNNNNNNNNNNNNNNNNNNNNNNNNNNNNNNNNNNNNNNNNNNNNNNNNNNNNNNNNNNNNNNNNNNNNNNNNNNNNNNNNNNNNNNNNNNNNNNNNNNNNNNNNNNNNNNNNNNNNNNNNNNNNNNNNNNNNNNNNNNNNNNNNNNNNNNNNNNNNNNNNNNNNNNNNNNNNNNNNNNNNNNNNNNNNNNNNNNNNNNNNNNNNNNNNNNNNNNNNNNNNNNNNNNNNNNNNNNNNNNNNNNNNNNNNNNNNNNNNNNNNNNNNNNNNNNNNNNNNNNNNNNNNNNNNNNNNNNNNNNNNNNNNNNNNNNNNNNNNNNNNNNNNNNNNNNNNNNNNNNNNNNNNNNNNNNNNNNNNNNNNNNNNNNNNNNNNNNNNNNNNNNNNNNNNNNNNNNNNNNNNNNNNNNNNNNNNNNNNNNNNNNNNNNNNNNNNNNNNNNNNNNNNNNNNNNNNNNNNNNNNNNNNNNNNNNNNNNNNNNNNNNNNNNNNNNNNNNNNNNNNNNNNNNNNNNNNNNNNNNNNUAACAGCUGCCAUCCUGAAAAAAUUCUGAAAAUGAUCCUGCAUAGCCUCUUUGAUUUCCCCUGGGGUAGUUAAGUCUCUUCCCUGAUAACUUAACUGGGUAAUAUUUUUUUUUUACUAUUCUUGCCUUACAGAUGCGAUGAAAGUACUUUGUAUUCCGAUCACCCUCCUUCAACCACUGCACCCUUGAUUUCUGACGCCAAGUUCUUACUGCGCCCCCCCUUGCUCCUCCAUUGCCCCCACACUUCCUGCAAUCUAUUCUCUAAACAAACAAUUUUUUCCACCCCCCAUGCCCCUUUCCCCUUGCGCCACUCUCUUAUUUUCCCCCUCAAACCCUUUGCGGACCUCCACCAAUUUUCGACCACCUCAUAAAAUCCAUCGUCAUCCACCCAAUGAUUAAAAUAGUGGAAAGGUUUAGGGCCAGAGUCAGGUUCACCAAACACCAAACCUACAACUCUAUGAUCAGAAACAUUCCAUGCAAAAACAGAUUGUGAAAUAUUCGAAAAAGAUAACAUCACCUCGUCAGACACGAGCCAUCUGUCCAAUCGACUCCAUAGGCCAUCGUUGCGACUUGAGUACCACGUGUACUUGCCAUUUAGCAGGGGUAGGUCUGAUAAGUUAGUAUCAGUGGCAAAUUGUUGAAAAACCACAUCGCCUACAUCAAGAACUCCUUCUGAAGACCGCUCCGAUCCUAGUAGAACAGCGUUAAAAUCGCCCCCAAGAAACAUCAUACCUGUAUGACUUAGCACAUGCACUUUCAAGGCCUCAAAACAUACUCUACGUUCCGGCAAAGAAUGGGGACCAUAAACAUUCCCCACUAGAACUGGGUGUUCAUAAUUUGGAACUUUUACAGACAAAAAAAUAAAAUUAGUGUAUGUCACCAUUGACUGAACUUGAAAACUGCUUUCCUUCCACAGACACAUUAGGCCACCUGCUGCUCCCGCUGACUGAACCUCGACAUGAUUCAUCUGCAAACUUUGCGUCCACUGUUCAACUGUUCGUUGCCUCUGCUCAUUCAAUUUUGUUUCUUGUAAUAGAAUCAAUUCUGGUUUCAAUUGUUGAAGUGCUUUUUUGACAGCCUCUCUUUUCGUAGUUCCGCCUAGCCCAGGCACAUUCCAUGUGAGCCAAGGCCCCGACAUAUCAAUUGAGGUGAGGGUGAUUUUCACGGAUUUGAGCUUCUAAACCUCUCAGCAUCAAAGCUUCUGAUCCGCGUGGUUUUAGUCCCAACUCCUUUCCUAUCAACCAUGCUCUCUGCGAACGCGUUGUCACCCCAUCUUCACCUGGAAUUGGUUCUAGAAAAUCAUUCGGCAAUGCUAUGGGUUUAUUCUUAAUUUCUUUUGGACGCCCCCUUUGCGAACUUUUUUGAGAUGAAUGUGUAUUUGGAGAAUUGAGGGGAGUCGGAGCGCUUGAUACUGUGGGUAUGACCGACAAGGAUUUCUUUGGCGUCUGUGGUUCCUUGUUCUCACGUGACAGCAACUUACUUGAUGUGGGGGAAGAAACUUGCCGAACAAUUUGAUGAGAAGAGGUUCUGAUGAAGGUUUCACGUGUUACGUGAGUUUCAUCCUCUAGUGCAGAAGUUGGCGGGNNNNNNNNNNNNNNNNNNNNNNNNNNNNNNNNNNNNNNNNNNNNNNNNNNNNNNNNNNNNNNNNNNNNNNAGCGAGAUAUAUAUAUAUAUAUAUAUAUAUAUAUAUAUAGAGGAUGUAUCUAGUGAGAGAGAGAUUUCUUAUGUGAGAGUGAGAUGAUUGAUUUUCUACCCUUAGAUCAAAAUCAAUGGCUUAGAUUAUAACACUUAAACUUUACACACUGACAGUGCAGUGUAAAAUUUUUUUCACCGUCAACCAAUCAGUUUUCAAGGAUGUGAGAAAAUCUCUCUUUUUAUUUAAUUUCAUUAAUUGACGUGGCACAUCAUUGAAAUCUGAUUGGUUGACGGUGUCGGUGCAUCAUCAUUUUUCUCUUUUAUUUUUCAAAAUUUAGUUGUUAUAAGCGCUACCUGAAUGAAAUAAUAUUCAUUCACAGUCUUCAACGGCUAGUUUCCAUAUCAAAGUGACCGUUUGAGAGCAUCGUCUCAAAAAUUCAAAACCAGGAAAACAAACAACACAGACACACCACCAAGAGUUGAGUUCUUUUCUAAGCUAGAAAUUCUAACAGACACAUCCAAUUCAACAAUCCGAAGAUUCAGAAAAAAAUGGUGUACUCAAACUACACACCAACCUACUACUCAACACUCCAUGACUCAAUCACCUCACUCUGCAAGACCCUUCUCCCUUUCAGCUUCAAGAAACGAUCAUUGCUCUCAGCAGAGCAAAGGUUGUCGAAGCUGCAAUCCGACAACCUCAAAUGGCAGCAGGAGUCUUUCCACCAGAUUUUGAACUUGAUGGGUCUUCACGAAGAAGGCAUUGUGGCUGAAACUGAGGUUUCAGCUUUCAGAACCCACUUGCUCGAGACUCUCAUCGCUUCGCCUCCGGAACAAGAGCAUCCUGUUAUACUCAGAGACAAGCUUCUGUUUCUGCAGGAGCUUCUGUAUGCAAAGUGUGUUUCUGAAGAAGAGUAUCAUUCUUCUAAGAGACCUUUGCUUCAGAGAUUGGCUGUUCAAGGUGCUCAGAUUGAGGCUAAGGAUGUGAUCGUUGGUGUGAGGGCAGUGAGGCCUAGAGAGAUUUCGGAGGAAGAGUGGUCGGUUAUUGAUUUGAAGGAUGAUAAGGGAUUGAAGAUGAACAAGGAGAAUUUGAAUUGUAAGGGAAAAUCGAAUCAGGGGUCGGGUUUGAAGCAGAUUAAAGGGGCAGCCUCGGUUUUCGGCUUUGUUUCUCCUCACAAACCUGGGAAAAAUGGGGUGGAGAAGAGUGCUUUUGAAUCACCUUCUUUGCAAUUGAGGCAAUCCAGUGAAAACCCUUUUUGGAAUGCUGAGCCUAAUGGCAAUAAAAGUGAAGGUACAACAAUUCUCAUGGAGGAAAGUGGGCCCCCGGAAGCUGUGAAGGAAACCGGUGGCUCGGAGAAGUUGAAGAGGAAGCCAUUUAGGACUUUAUUUCACAGGGAGCAGAGGGAGGGAGUUGGUGGUGGAAGUGGUGGUGGUGGUCCUGAGCCAGAGCAAAGAGCAGGGAAACCAGUGAAGAAGCAAUGGGGGUUUGAUGGGUUCAAGAGAUGGAAGAGAAAUGAGGCAGAUGAUGAGACUGCUCCAUUGCCUCUGAAUGAGAGGUCUGAUAGUGGGGGACACUCAGCUUCCUCCCAGUCUCUUGCAAGAGUUCAUGGAGAGGGACCAGACACCAAGUUGUUGAAGAAGAAGUUACAUUCUGAUGGUUCUCCAUCUGAUUUCUUCAUAGAUAAGGUUUUAGAUCCUUCAUCCAUCAUCUCUUUCUAUAUUUCAAUCUAAUUUCCUUUUGAAAUUGAGCUAAUUUUUGGACAUGUUAAACAAAAUUCUUGUUCACUGUGAAUAGGUUUUGGGAGACAAGAUAAAGAAGGAGCUGACAAGAAUCCAGACAGAACUUAGCAGCACAAACCCAAAUCUUAAAUUCUCGUAAUUACUUUCCUUGCAUUUGGAAAACUGAUAUUAGUUAGUGCAUGUUUGGAUACACUAUGGAAAAUAGCUGUAAAACUAAGAUCACGGUGAACAGUCACAAAAGCUAAGGGAAAUUACUUCCAUCCAUAGUGAUUUUAGCUCACCAUGUAUCCAAACACGCACUUAGUUCUUUGCUUAGAAAUGUUACUUACUUUUGGCUGCAUUUGUUGUGAUAUCAGGAAUGAUCAGAUGGAAGCAAUUUCUACUAGAAUUCCAGUGGACAAGGCUGAUUUGAAAAAUUACUUUCCUAAGUGAGUCAACAUAACCCCACUUUUCAUGUUUCAAUUUUGGAUCACUUGACACUUUAUACAGUCUGAGAUCAGAGGAUUAGUGUUACUUACUGUGUACUUUCUUGUGUUUCUUUUGUGUGUUGAAGAUCAUGGUGUGACAGAUACGGUGAUGUGGUGCUGGACGUGGUGAAGAAGGAAUUCAAAAACCAUGUAGGAGAGAUGGAGAACAUGCGCAAUGUUGCUAGAGAAAAACAUGGCAGCAACUCAAGGCGGUGGACAACAUCUGAGGAUGAUGAAAAUAUUCAUCCAAAUCUUUUUGUUCAUCAUGAUAAUUCAGCUCGCAGCAGUAACAUCAAUCCAUUUUCUCAUGGUUAUGGAGAGAGCAAGUGGAACUAGAUUAAGCUGAAGUCUGAAUCAGCUUCUCUAGGAAAUCCAUAUGCAGUAAAGUAUUUGUUGUUAUAUUGUUAAGGCAAGCAAAGAGACUUGUAAGUACUGUCUAGAUCUUCAUUGACAAUCUUACUUUGAUGGUAUUAGUCUUUUUCACAGUUCUAUCAACUAUCAAGCAUUUCUAGUGCUAAGCCAUUUUUUUUCACCUUACAAUUUUAAAUGCAUAAUUUGAUUGUCUGUUUUAUUCCUUUCGUUGAAAUUUAUUUUCCUUGCAACAUUGCCAAAUCAAAAAAAUUUUAGUUUGAUGUUUCCUAGAUGGGAGUCUGAAGAACAAAUACUAUAGAUCCAAACAAGUUUCAUCAUAAAAUGGAUUCUUGCAUAGAGCACAAGCUCAUGAUAUAACUACUGUACUUGAACCGUGCUUGGAUGAUAGAUAAUGAAGGGAACAAAAGCAAUAAUGAGAAGAAAAACAAUUUCUUAUUUGGAAAUUAACAAUGUACAAGAGGCGAAUAGAACUUGAGAGGAACCAUUCCCAAUCAAUUCCCCCCCAAGACCAUGUUACAUGUUUGUUUCUCAGUUAAACACCAACAAAAGGCUAAAGUCCCUUUCAUGUUGGGGGCCAUGAGAAUUCAGGAUUUAGAAUUUCAAAGCUCCAAACUGUGGAUUUAAACUUAAAAACAAACAUGCAUUUUCUAUGUUGGGGUGAAAUGGGGAGGAAACAAAGAUUUUGCACCAUUUCUUAACUAUAUUCCUAAUCUAUCUUUCUUUCUUUUUUCCCCGUUUCCUUUGUAGUCAAUCCCCUCUUGUUUUGGUUGAUGAAAAAACAUCCCAACACAGUUUAAAUAUAAGGGUUUAUAGAUAUGAUUGCCAAGGCCCAAGGGUGACAUUGAUUUUAGACUAAAAUACACUUCAAACCAAUUUAGUCUUUCAAAUAAUUGUGAUCUCCAAUUAGUUCUUUGAAAAUUUAAAGCGACGACAAAAUAAUCCUUCCAUCCAAUUUGAUGUGACAUCAAUUCGAACCGUAUUGAUGAUAAAAAUAUUUGAAGGAUCAAAUUGAUGUUAGGUGUAUCUUUAGAUGACCCAGAUGGUACUUUAGUCUAUAGUUGAAUAUUUACAUCUAUGUACACAAUAUCAUUGAGACUGCACUACUGAGUAGGUAGCAGACAACUCUCCACAAACAUUGCCACGACAAAGAGGGCACACACUGUAAAAGAGGGAAGCAGAAAAAAAUGGUUAUUUAUGUAAUGGAAAUUGAUAGAUAUGAAAAGAAUGAACGAUUUUUGGUUACAGUGACAAUACCCAUGUAUUUCCUUAAGCCACUUGUCAACACACAACUUGUGGUACUCAUGGUUGCAAGGAAGAACUCGUAUUUGGUCCCCUUCUUCAUACUCAGCCAGGCAUAUGUGACAUCUACAAAAUUCAUUUAUUAAAUUUUGAUAAUAGUGGGAGAAGGAAGAACUUUUCAAGCAUUCAAAACCAACAAAAAAAAAGUAUCAUAACCACACUGACAGACUACAUAAGUGAAAAACUAGUUAGGCUAUGCUUGGAUUACACGUUGACACUUGUGCACACGGACGCUAGUACUCACUUCGAAACAAAAAGUGAAUGGAACUUUCUUUUGGAUUGAGAUGAAACUCAUGAAAGUUCAUUCACAUUACACUCGACUAGUAUCCAAACACACACUUAACUAUGGCCAUACUACCACAUAUAUUAUUCAUCCAAACAUAUUUGCUUAAGAUAAUAGGGAUCUAAAGGCUUACUGUUCAGCAUCAUUGUCUCCAUUAGCUGCAUCGCCCUUUUUGUGAGACUUCAGAGGGAAGGAGUCAACAAUUGAUUCAGGUGCGGGGAGUGAGACCAUGGAUAGGGAAAGUGAUCCAGGUUGCCGAUGGAUUUCAUCUAAAACCUGCAGAGGAAAAAUAUGCUGCCCUAUGUAAAUUGCUUUCGGCAUUUCAGUUCUCAUAAUCCAAUAGUAAAGUAUAGAACCAUUUUUGGCCAGAUAAUUAUACCUAAAGACGGAUAUCUCAGGUAACCAGAAAAUAAUAGGUUCAAAUCAAUUAUGAUUCAUCAUGGAAAACACUGUUCUUUAAGCUCAAAGCAUCUGUGUACCGAGCAUAAUAACACAUGCCUACCACCAUUCAUGACCUGAAGAGCCUUCAGUUACAGGAACUGGCUUCCAUUUAAGGUACUAUUUUUUUUUUGAAAGACAAACCAAGCUAGAUUUUACAUCUAAGUGAAUGAAAUGAAAUUAUUACACAAAAAAGUACUGCAGACAAUUGAAAAGGAGGGAUCUGGUUCAGAAUAUGAAGACCACCUUACAAGGGUGAGCCUGUGACUCUGAGUAUUAUGAUAUACCCAAUCAAGCUGUGGUGGGCAUGAUGACAAGAACUCAAACAUACUUUAAAAUACAGAACAUAAUAACAUUCUGAAUAAUUUGAUCAUAUUGGACAUUUCAUUAUAUUCAUUCUUAAUUUACCGAGUAGUGAGAGGUGCAACCCGCCCCCCUUUGAAAAGUCGCCAAUGCAAAGCUAGAUUGAAAUGAUGUACUUCUAAUAAAAUAAAAUAAAACACCAGAUGACACCCAAAUGCUACAAGACAUCUGCAGACCUACUGCAAGAGGAAUAAAGAACUGUUUUUCACUACAGAGAAACUGCACAAUAGAAGCAGUCCAAUAUUAGAUUGUCAAAGACCUAACUUUUAAUUAUGAAAUUCAAAAUUAGAUAAUCUCAAUCAUCAGGAAGUUAUGAUAUCGUAGAAAAGAGGCCAAAAAGAAGAAAAUCAAAUGCAUGAGAGCAUCCUGAAAUGCUCUUAUGCAGUAAGCACACUGCCCUAUCAACGGUAUCAGAUUGAACUGCCAAUCAGCAAGUACCAUGUUUAAACCAAACGCAGAAAUUUAGAGAUAAAAUUAAAAUUCAUAGAGCAGGAAACACAAGGGAUAAGGAUGGAUGGAAAACUCAAUUUAAUUAAAUCUAGGAGAAAAAAAAAAGACACUGGAGAGAAGGUUCAAACCUCAAACAGAGCCUCAGCCAGCAUGACUAUUCUUGAAAUGCUUGCUCGAGUGCUAGAUUCCUCAGCCAUUGGGAAAGACUCGCAUGAGCACAUACCAUCAGCAUGGAGUCCUAAUGGACAUGAAGAAUUCAACCGACCAAUCUCAUCAAGGCCACCACGAAGCCUUUCCCAAAUCUAUAUAAAGAAAUGUAAACAGCUUAUGUUACAUGAAAGGGAUCACAAGCCCAUUUAAUAAAUGCAAGUAGGUGACAUAAACAAUUUAAAGCAUUCUAUACUCCAAAUAUUCAGAAUCACCUCAGAUCUUGGGUGCCGCAUUCGUUCACUCGAUCUAUGAGUUCUACGACCAGGAUUUCCAGCAUCAUCCCCAACCCUAUCAUUUGGUAAAUCACCGCUAAAAUCAAUGAGCCAUCGAUCUUGAGAUCCUGUAUCAUCAGCACCUCCACUGGAGAAGACAAUGGUCGGAGAAUCACCAAGCCUUCCAGAGCUACGUCGUGAAAAAGCAUCCCAAAAUAAUCUUCUACCAUUUCUUCUGGAAUCAUGAUCAUUGGCAUCUGCAUUGCUUGCUGACAAAAUGUUGGAAGAUAUUGUGACCACGUCAACUUGAAUCACGCUAUCAUCUCCCUGCCCUGUUUCCCGAUUGGACACAAGAAAACCUAAACCUGAAGGUAUUGCCUCGCGAAGAGGUUCAUCUUCUGGCACUUGAGAAAUUGCCAUUAUAUUGGAAACUUGAGCAACAGGAUUGGAAGGAGCACUCUGGAUAGAUGUGAAUGCACCAGUGUGAUUCUCAACAGAAAUUUCAUCAGAACUGGUAUUUCCACGCUCUUGAGGGGUUGAACUCCUUGGAUACAUCGUGUCACGAGAGGUUUGACAGAUACCACUAAACACUGGAUCAUCAACAUUAUUGACUGCAUCCUUGUUAGCAGAAACACUUAUAGAAACUGGAUCUGAAGACUGAUGUUCAACAGAUGAAGUACUAGCUGUGUUGCUACUAUCACUAUAUGAUUCAUGACGACUAUUAUCGGCGCUUACCUGAUAAGGAGGAACUAGCUCCUGACGUUCAGACAAACACUUCCUCUGACUAUUUGCUGCAACAUUUCUGGAAGAACCUUCAACGGUUUUAUCACCACAGAACUCAACUCCCAUAUCAGAUGAGGUUGAAGUUUCAGCACGGGGACAAUAGCUAGUUCUAGCUUCUGUACAUGAUAAAGACGAUUCCUCAGAGGCUGCUUUCUGAAUUUCAUCAUCAAAAUCUCUUGCCGAACCAACCUGAAGCUCAGAUGGACGUUCUUCCAUCUAAAAACACAAUGUAAGAAUGUAAUUUCCUGUAUCAGUCACUCCCAGUAUCUAUUUAACGGCUAUCCAGCAUCCACAAAUUAUCGCUUGUGUGAGACCAGAUAAAAUGGCUUGUGGAUAAAUUUUCAAGUCAUACAUACUCAUGCAUUCAGUUUUCCUUGAAACAAUACUCAACAAGUUAAGAACAAAUACGAUUUUCCAAAUUCACCCUUGAAUAGAUGCUGAGAUGCAUAAACUUAUUAGGAUCAACAUGACUCUAAAACUUAAAGAAGUUCAUCAAAUCAUUGGAAAGUAAAGGAGUGCCAAUGAAGAAAAAAGUUAAAAUAAAAAAACUAGUAACGAGUGAAACUUUAAUCUUUCAAGACCGAAGAGACUUGAACCGUUCCAUGAAUCAAUCACCUAGUGAAUACAAUAAAAUAAUAAAACAAGCUAAAUCCAAAUUUGUGAUAAAGAAUUAUACCACACUACCACAGGCACCAGCAGAUAAUUUCAUAGAUUAGUUAGGCUCAUAUGCGUCAAACCGUAUUAAUCAACUAGCAAACUAUCAGAUUCCUAUGAUAAUCAAUAGAACCUACAAACUAUAAUUAUAUAACCAAGCUCACAAUAUUCUCACACAAUCAAUUUUUUUUUUCAAAUGAUGUAAUCAAUCAGCUAACAAAAAAGCCAAAUACUAUCAGUCUAUCACAAAAAUUGCUUUAUCUAUAUAAGUCAAGCACAAUUGAUUGGACUUUUAGCAAAUCAAUUUUAUACUUACAUCCCCAAAAACAAAAGCUACCCAAUUCAAAAGUAAAUCGAAUGGACCAACCCAGAUGAUAAAAAUCAAACUUUCGAAAUGAAAAAGCGUAAAAACGAAAUGGGUAUUAAGAAAAUCGGGUACCUGAGGAGUUGUAGAGCGGGAAGCGGAGGAUCCACAGAGAAGAGAGGAUAGUCUGAAGCGGUUGUUGUUGACCCGAGGAGGAGAAGAGCGAGACCCGAGACGACUAGAAGAAGAACCCAUGUCUAAGAGAAGAAGAUGAGAGGUACAGAAGAGCUAGCUAGCUUGGUAGUAGCAGCAGCAAGAUGUGGAUGGUUGCUUAUUCUUCGAUGAUGAUAAUCGAAAGCUGACCAACUUGGAGCUUUUCUUCAAUUUCAAUUAUUUCUCAACUUUCUUUCUUACACAUCAGGCAAAGCAAACACACUAUACUUUCGAGUGCCGAUCGCAGUGUUAAAAAUUGACUGUUUAUAUCUAGGUCGAAAGCUCAAUUUUUAGGUAUUACAUUUUCGAAAACGUUUGACUUUCACGACCGAAAUUAUGACAACAAUUUAAUAUACCAAAAAACAAGACACUUUAGGUUUAGGGUUAAUGGUUAAAUUAUUCUCUGAAUUUCUAAGGAUUUGAUUUUAGUCUUUUUUUAAGUAAAAAUAACGCUUCGUGACGGUAAAAAAUUGUCAAUAAUUAUAAAAGUGGCUGUCACUAAACGUAAGUUUUUCUUAGAAUGACUAAAAUUAAAUUUCCUUACAAAGUCAAUAACAAAAUCUAGGGUGAGUGAAUGUUGCCAUGAUUUAAGGUAGGAAAAACCUUUCAUAUGAAAUAAGUGUGGGCUUGAACCUAUCACUUGUAAGACAUGCGAUGUUAUCAUGCUCCACUUGAAAUGUGUUUUUUUUUUUUUUUGUCAUUUUUGUUUUCUUUUGCAUAAGGUUUUGAAUGUGGUGG
RNAcentral lists this long non-coding RNA (56768 nucleotides) under Lotus japonicus. Its description in RNAcentral is "long non-coding RNA (LJAP_LNC001862)". The record is from RNAcentral. Lineage: Eukaryota; Viridiplantae; Streptophyta; Magnoliopsida; Fabales; Fabaceae.